CCUCUCUUCUUCCUUCACUUUAGGAACCGCCACCUUGAGCACCCCAUUCUUCAUCUCCGCCUUAAUCCCAUCCAAUUUGUACAAGUUUUGAGGAAUUUCCAGUCUGGUAGAGUACCUUCUUCUAUACUCUUCAUCUUCGGAUUCUUUCUCGCCCUCUCCUUUGAUGAUCAGCGUGUUCUCCUCCACCGCCACCUUCACGUUCUCCUUGUCGAGCCCAGGCAUGUCCAUUUUUAUAUACAGAGCAUCGUCGUCCUCCCUCACGUCCCAUCCUCUCCUUGAUGGGUUACCAGCACCCAUAGCAUGAGGCGCCGCUGCAAAUGGAGAAUUCAUCAUCUGGUCCAUCAUGUUCAGCAGCUGACUCACGCUCCUUGGAGGUGAAAAUGGAUCGAAUACAUCUGUCCAACCAAAACUCCAAGUGAGGCAAAAAAUACGAUUAUAAGAGUUGAGUUUUAUGUAGCGUUAAAGAGUAGAAAAAAAAAAAAAAAAAAAAAAAAAAAAAAAAAAAAAACACACACACACACUGUCUAGACAAGCUAAAAAAUACAAAACAAAUCAAAAAUCAUGAGUUAGAACUAUUAACUUUCAUCAACUUAUAAACCAAAAGCUAUAAGUAGAGCUAAUUAAACAAGGCCGACUAAUUAUCAUUUAGUAGAUCCCAAGUCUUGGGAAAACGAGAUGCAAGGGGUAAAUAAGUAACUUCAGUAGAAACACAUUGCUAAACCAAAAAUCCAAUGAGUCUAAAAAGUACAGUAGAAGCUAGUUUAAUAGGGCAGAUUAAUCAUCACAUACUAGAUCACAAAUAUGAGUAAAACAGAGCUAUGAUGUACUGGAAAAGUAACCUGAGAAGAAACACAUUUGCUAAACCAAAAGCCCAAACUUCUUAAAAGAUGCAAUAGUAAUGUUGUGAACUUUAAGCACCUAUGGGCUGGAAAUGCUGAAUUAGAUUGAUUAUAUUGUAACUAUGGGGUCGCGUAAAAUAUUGAAAACAACAGCUUUACGAUAUUGAUGUGAACAAUGUUGUCUAUCAUCUCUACUCUGUAUCUCUAAUUUACUCAUACUAAUUCUGUAUCGUUUAAUUUUUCAUCCCCUUUCUUCCUAGUAAUUACUUUGUAAUUCCAGUUUAGUUUCAAUAUAAACUAACUACUCUAUUGGACAGAGAAUGGAAGAUGUUCGUGUAAAGUGACUGGUUGAGUAAUUGUUAAUACUCGCAAAUUCGAGAAAAAAAACAGAGAUGUUAAAGAGGAGACAGUUUACCUGAGAAGAAGCUGGGGAAAGCGUCCUGGCGGCGAGAAACAGAGCGAUCAGGGCGUCUUUCAACUUCAACGCUGCGAUCAUCAUCAUCGUAAGUUGUCAUCUGAGUGUUAGUAUUGAAGGAUCGGAAAACAGAGGCAGAGCGGACAGGGUUAACGAGUCUGUUGAAGAGAGGUGAGGUGGUAGCCCUCCUAAGAGCAAGUGAAGUUGCCAUUUCUGCUACCAAUCAAAGAUUGCUUGCUUGCUUACAAACUUCUCAAGAGAAAGAAGGAGCUGCUUUAAUGGAGAUUUUCGCCGACUUAGCUUCACGUUAUACUUUGCUGAAUAAGGAUGACCACUUUAUGUGAAUAGAGUGUUUCAUUUUUAUAUGCUGUAAUAGUGAGUUGGAUAAGGGAAAAAGGAUUCGAGAAACUCAUAGAAGCAUCUUGUAGAAAGUUCCAGAGUUGUGGUGAGUGAGGAUUUAUGAAGACGUUUCUAGAAGCGAGUGGACGACGCUUCCGGAUUGUUCAAAUUAUUGUGUCCUCGGCUGAUCAAUUCGUUAUGGUCGGACUCCAUUACGAUUUUUGGGAAAGGGUCCAACAUACACGAGAAAAUUAAGUGUAGGGUCAUAAAUAAAUCUUCAAAUUAAAUUUAGUGAUAAGUUUGAUUAAUUUAAGUUAACUUUUUUUAUUUUAUGAUUAAGUUAUAUUGGGAUAUAAAAUGUAACUUUUAAAAUGCCUAAACUUUACCAAAAUAGAAAAUAAAGUCAAUCAAAAAACAUGAGUCACUUUAUCAAUUUUUUAAAAUUAAUCUCAUAAUUUUUUUUCUCUCUCUAAAAGAGAGAGAAAAAUGACCAUCUCCCAUGCUUCUCUCAAACAACAUAUUUAAGCUGGCCUCAAGUUAUCGUUUUCUUGUAUUGUCAUUGUUAUCUUCGAUCUAAGUUAGAAUUUUGAUUCAUAAAGUUAUUUUCUUUACUUUCACAAUUAAGGUUUAUCCAUCUAUAAGAAUUUGUUGAUUUUGAAAAAAUGAAUUUAGAUUUUUGAGAUUUGUGAUGUUCUCUUUUGAAUAGUCUCAUUAAUCAUGAAACAAUUUCAAUAAUGUAGUUUCUUAAAAAUUCACUUAUUUAGUAGAAUUUUAAAAAAAAAUUAUAUUUUUAGAAGUGAAAAAGAACGUUUUGUGCUACACUUGAAUUUUUUACAGUAAAGAUAUAAAUCUAAAUUUAUUUUGAAUUUAUUUUUUUAUCAGUAUGUUUGAUUUAAAGGGAUGCAUUUACUCAUUUCUUGAAAAAGAAGAGCUUUGUUAACUUGAAUUUGUAAAAUUUAUGAUUUUUAUGAAAUUGAAAUUGUUCUCGUUUGAAUUAUUUUAAUAUUAUUAUUUUUUACAUGCAGAUUGUGCAUCUAUGGAUAAGUUCUACACCCAAUGAGAUGUGGAUUGUUAUGAGGUUUUGAAGGCAUUGUCAAGUGUCCAAAAAAAGGCAAAGAGACAGGUUGAAACUACCAUCGAGAAGAAAUUGGUGUCCUAGUUGAUUAAAGAUAAUUUAUUUUAAAAAAAUCUUUAUAGUUGAUUUGUUAAGAUUUGUUGAACUUUUUUGUUAUGUUUUGUUGAACUUUUAUAGUGGUGAUGAGAUGAGAUUCACUUGUGAAUUGGUUCUCUUGGAUUUAAAGAACUUUUGUAGUGUGAUAGGAGUUAGAAUUCAUAAAUGUGUUUUAUUAGUAUAAAUGUUGUUUGUUUGCAAUAACAGUUAUUUGAUAUAACUUAGUCAUUUGUUUCAGCAAUUGUUGUAAGUUGCUAGAAAUUUCAUAUCAGUUGCUGAAAUGUACUUACACAAGUAAGUUGCUAAAAAUUUUACAGUAAUUGCUGAAAUAUCCUACAAUAAGUACGUUAGUUGCUGAAUAUUUUAUACUUGCUAAGAUAUGCUACAACAAGUAUGUUUGUUGUUGAAAGUUUCACAAUAACUGCUGAAAUAUGCAGCAACAAGUAUGUAAUUAGUCUAAUUUUAGAAUGCAAUUUAGAUUUUAUAGUUAUCAAAUGCAAUAAAAUGAUAAUUUAAUAUAUACUAGACGGUCAAUUAAACGAUCACAAAUGUGAUCAACUAAAACUGAGUUAAAUGAUCGCUAAUUGAUUGGCUCAAUCAUAUUUAAUGAUAAAUAAAGUAAUAUUAGUCUAAUUUAAGAGUGUAAUUAAGAUUUGAUUACUAUCUUAAUUGAAUUUGUUACAACAAGUAAGUUAGUUUGUUGUAAUAUGUUACUACAAGUACGUUAGUUGCUUAAUGUUUUACAACAAUAGUUGAAAUUUGCUACAGCAAGUACGUUAAUUAUUGAACAUUUCAUAACAAUUGUUGCAUUAUAUUACAACAAGUACAUUAGUUGUUGAACAUUUCAUUGCAAUUGUUAACAAUGUAAUCAAUUAAAAUUGAGUUAAAUAAUCACCAAUUGAUUUAAUCAAUCAUACUUAAUGAUAAAUAGGGUGAUAUUAGUCUAAUUUAAGCUUAAAAGUUAUAUUUUAUAUAAUCAAAUAAAAUAAGAUAAUAAUUUGAGAUAUACUAAACGAUUAAUUAAACGGUUGCACAUGUAAUCAACUAAAAUUGAGUUAAAUGAUGAUUAAUUGAUUGUAUCAAUCAUAUUUAAUGAUAUAUAGGGUGAUAUUAGUCUAAUUUAAGAGUAAAAUUUAGAUUUUAUAGUUAUCAAAUACAAUGAGAUAGUAAUUUGAAAUAUACAAGAAGAUCAAUUAAACAACAACAAAUAUAAUCAACUAAAAUUGAGUUAAAUAACCUCUAAUUGAAUGGAUCAAUCAUAUUUAAUGAUAAAGAAGGUGGUAUUAGUUGAGUUUAAGAGUAAAAUUUAGAUUUGAUUGUGAUCUUAAUUAAAUUUGCUACAACAAGUAAGUUAUUUGUUAGAAAUUUCAUAACAAUUGCUGAAAUUUGCUACAACAAAUACAUUAGUUGUUGAACGUUUCAUAACAAUUGCUGAAUUAUGCUAAAACAAGUAUGUUAGUUGUUGAAUGUUUCAUAGCAAUUGCUUCAGAUGUAAUCAACUAAAAUUGAGUGAAAUGACCACUAAUUGAUUGAAUAAAUCAUAUUUAAUGAUAAAUAGGGUGAUAUUAGUUUAAUUUAAGUCUAAAAUUUAGAUCUUAUACUUAUCAAAUACAAUGAGAUAGUAAUUUGAGAUAUACUAGACGAUUAGUUAAACGAUUGCAAAUAUAAUCAACUAAAGUUAAGUUAAAUGACCUCUAAUUAAUUGGAUCAAUCAUAUUUAAUGAUAAAUAGAGUAAUAUUAGUCUACUUUUAAGAGUAUAAUUUAGAUUUUAUAGUUAUCAAAUACAAUGAGAUUGUAAUUUGAGAUAUACUAGACGAUCAAUUAAACGGUUGCAAAAAUAAAAUUGAGUAAAAUGAUGAUUAAUUGAUUAAAUCAAUCACAUUGAAUGAUAAAUAGGGUGAUAUUAGUCUAAUUUAAGAGUAAAGUUUUUAUUUUAUAGUUAUCAAAUACAAUGAGAUAGUAAUUUGAGAUAUAUUAGACGAUCAAUUAAACAAUUGCAAAUGUAAUCAACUAAAAUUAAGUUUAAAUGACCGUCAAUUGAUUGGAUCAAUCAUAUUUAAUGAUAAAUAGAGUAAUAUUAGUCUAGUUUAAGAGUGUAAUUUAGAUUUGAUUGUGAUCUUAGUUGAAUUUGCCACAACAAGUAAGUUAGUUGCUAGAAUUUUCAUAACAAUUGCUGAAAUAUACUACAACAAGUACGUUAGUUGCUGAAUGUUUCAUAACAAUCGCUGAAAUAUGUUACAACAAGUACGUUAGUUGUUGAACAAUUCAUUGCAAUUGUUGCAUUAUACUGCAACAAAUACGUUAGUUGUUGAAUGUUUCAUAGCAAUUGUUGCAAAUGUAAUCAAGUAAAAUUGAAUUAAACGAUUACUAAUUCAUUGAAUCAAUCAUAUUUAGUGAUAAAUAUGGUGAUAUUGGUCUAAUUUAAUCUUAAAGUUAAAUUUUAUUGUUAUCAAAUACAAUGAGAUAGUAAUUUGAGAUAAACUAGAUGAUCAAUUAAACGACUACAAAUGUAAUCAAUUAAAAUUUAGCUAAAGGACUGCUAAUUGAUUGAAUCAAUCAUAUUUAAUGAUAAAAAAGGUGAUAUUAGUUUAAUUUAUGAGUAAAAUUUAGAUUUGACUAUGAUCUUAAUUGAAUUUGUUAUAAUAAGUAAGUUAGUUGCUAGAAUUUCACAACAAUUGCUGAAAUUUGCUAUAGCAAGUAUGUUAGUUGUUGAACAUUUCAUAACAUUAACUGAAGUAUGCUACAACAAGUAUGUUAGUUGUUGAACAUUUCAUAUCAACUGUUGAAUUACGUUACAGCAAGUAUGUUAGUUGCUGAACAUUUUCAUAGCAAUUGUUGUAAUCUGUUGAAUCUCCUAGAUAGUAUAACAUGCAUCUUUUUUAAAACUGCAUAACCAGAACAACCAUAAGACAAAAUUUGUUCACAAAUAAUAACAACAAUAAUAAGAUGUGUUCAAAAAUAACAAAAGUAAUAAAAUUAAAUGUGUUUUUAUGGAGCAUUUCUCUCGAAGCAUAUAGUCCUUUUGUGUCCAGCCUUUUGCAUAUCUAUGAAUCAUUUAUUUUCUUGGUUGAAAAUAAUUCUAUGAUUCAUUUUCUUGUUUUUAAUGGUCUUCUUUUAAUCUUGCUUAGCUCAACAAAUGAAGGAGAUAUUUUUCUCUUUAAAAUCUCAACCCUUUUAUAUAUUUUUAGUAGUUUCCACGAUUGAUAAAUCAUUUGCUGAAUAAAUUAUUCAACAACUGCUGCAUAUUUUUCAGUAGUUGUUGCAUUUGUUUCACUACCUGCUGCAGUUGUUGAAACAUAUAUUGCAAGGGCAGGACCAACAAUAUAAAACUCGAACUCAGAUGAUUAAGACAAAUCAGGCUACAUACUUUAUUUAUUAAAAUUAUCGAAAAUUCUUUUUAAAGCAAUUUUUAAUGCUACACGAACAAAAUUUAGUUCAAAAUUGUAAAAAAGAAAUCCUCUCAAGCUCUUUGCAUAAGAAAUUCAAAACAAUAGCAGCAAUAACAACACCAAGAAUAGAGCAACAAAAUAGAGGAGGGAAAGCGGAGGAGAAGAAGAAAAAGAAUGAAUGAAGAAGAAGAAGAGAAAAAAAAAGAGGAAGAAGAAACCAUUGGGAGAAAUUGUUGGGAGAGAAAAGAGGAAAAAGAUUUAUUUCUCUCCUUUUAGGAAUUAGGAUUUUAAUUAAAAUUUGAUUUAAAUUGUAAAUAGUAAAACUUGAGGAUUUAUUUAAAAGAAAGUCAAUUAUUAUUAAUUCUAAUUAUAAAUUUGUCACCUACAUCUAAUAUUUAAGACUUGAGUCACUCUUUUUACAUUUCAACUCUCUUUUGUCACCCUUAAUUAAUUCACUCAACUUACACCCUCUAAAUUGAAAAAUUAAAUAAAUAUAUUCUUCGUCAUAUUUUUUUAGAUAAAUUUAUUCUUAUUAUCAUAUUUUGAAAUUAAAUUUAUUAUUUUAUUUUUAAAACUAUCUAAAUAUAUAUUUUGUCCUGUUUUAGAAUCAAAUUUAAUUUUGAGGCCAUAUAUUAGGAUCAAAUUUAUUCUCGUUUUAAGAAAUUUUUCACAUGUAUCCUUCUUUUAAUAAAAAAGCUUAAAUCAACAUUAAAUGACGCAUUUUUUAAAGACUAAAUAAACUCUAAUCUAAUUCGUUGGACCCCUACUCAAACCACAAAAAAAUUCAUUUUACUUUUUGUUCAGUUGUAAACAAUCUGCCAACGUUGCACGUUGAAAAAGAAGUAGUUUUGUUUGUUUAAAAAAUUUAACCAACAAAAAAUUUUAUUUUACUUUUUGUUCGGUUGUAAAUAAUUUAUUUUUGUGUAUUUUUUGUUGGUCGAAUCAGGCAAAUUAAAUUAGAAUUUUAUUUAUUUUUAAAAAAUAAAAAUUUAACAUUGAUUUGAGCUUAAAAUGAGGUGUAUGGGUGAAAUUUUUUUUAACAAUGAGAUUAAAUAUAACUUCAAAGUAUGACAUUUAGGAUAGAUUUAGCCCCAAAAUUUGACGAACAGUAUAUUUAGUUAAUUGUAUAAAGUAAAAUAAUAAAUUUAACUCUAAAAUAUGACAGCAAGGUAAAUUUAAUUUUAAAAUAUGACAAAAUUAUAUUUAGCAAAUUUAAAACAGAGUGAUAAAUUUGACCCUUUUUUCAUUUUUUUAAUCGCAUUCGUAGUGAGGUUUUUUAAUGUCCUUUUUCUCUUGAGUUUUGGGUAUAAAAGAAGCGAUCAAGAAGAUAUAGGGAAUAACUAAUUUUAUUACAAGACAACUUAUUAUGUUCAUAUUUGGUCAGAGCAAAACAUCAUUUUCUUAUUAAUAUUAGAACAUAUUAAAAUGUGUAUUUAAUUGAAAUAGUUAAAACUAUCUGUUUUCUCAAUAUUUGGAUGCAUAAAACUUGUUUUUAUUAAAUAUUAGGGAAAAGUCAUCGUUUUCACCCUAAACUAUACACGAAAAGUCUAGGUCACACCUAAACUAUCAUAAUGUCCUAUUACACACCUAAACUAUAAAAAAGUGAAACUAUUUCCACCCUAAAUCUGAUGUGGAAAUAAAAUUUAAUUAAAAAAAAAAAGGUGCGUCCAAAAACAAAAAAAUUCUUUAAUACCCCCACCCUUCCUCCAUCUCACACAAAUUUUCUCUCCUUCAAUCCCAUCUUGAAUCGACGUCGGUCAAAAAAAAUGGUGAAACACAAAAGCAAGCUAUAUACGAUUUUUCCAUCGCUAGUGUCUGACCAAAUAUUUUCAAAGCUCCGCCAGUUCUUUUUUUUUUUCGUUCACACACAUUAAAUUUUUACGAAAUUUAGCUAUAUACGAAAGAAAAAUCGGAGAAUUUUACGAUUGCGAUGAAAUCAAUAAGAAGAAUUUUAUGGUUUUAAAAAGUAAUUGAAAAGCUAGUAAAGAGAGAAAGGAAGCUGUUACUGCUCUGGCCGGAAUCUUAUUGAAGCUAUUACCAGAAAAACAGACCGUUCCCCCCACUCUAUUCGCUGUCUUUGUUUCCUCUCCUUAUCUCUCGAUUUCUUUCCAUUUCCCCCUCUCUCUUCUCUCUACUCUCUUUAUGCCUUUUCUAUUUUUCGAUCGGGUGUGGUAUAGCUGUGUGUAUUGUUCUCUGGAUGAAAGAAAAAUGGAAGACCCUUUGGAUAGUGUUGUGUGUGCAUAUCCCCAACAAUACUGAUUCAGAAUGCUAUUAAAAAUUUUGAUGAAAUUUGGUGGACUAUUAAAAAUUUUGAUAAAAUUCUUGAAAAAUGGGUUAUCAAGAACUAUGCAAUAUGCUUUAUUGACAAUCAAGUUGUUAUGUAAUUACAGUGAAAGGAUGUGCAUUUUGAUUGUGAGAGAAGGGGUGUUUGAGAUUUGUGAUACUAAUGAUUGUAUUAUGAUUCCGAUAAUUAAAUUUAUAGUGUUUUUAAAAUUAUUGCGGUGAAGAUUUGAGUUUUAUGAUGAUGGUGUUAAUGGUGUUAAUGGUGGACUUUUGGUGUGAAUGGUGGCGUUAAUGAUGAUGUUGUUAAUGAUGAUUUUGGUGAAGAAGAAGUAAUGGGUGAUGUGGACUUUUAAAAAAAAAGACAUAAUAUCUGAUGUGGUAAUGACUUGGCGAUGAUGUGGCACGAGAGUAAAUCACUCUCCAUUAUGUGACUGGUUCUUACGUUUUGGGGUGAAAAUAGUUUCACUUUUUUAUAGUUUAGAUGUGUAAUAGAACACUAUGAUAGUUUAAGUGUGACCUAGACUUUUCGUGUAUAGUUUAAGGUGGAAAUGAUGACUUUUUCCUAAAUAUUAUAUUAAUUUAAUAUUGCACCAGUAAAAUAUUUGAAAAUUUAUAUGACAGCAUUGGUGGUCAUGACUAUUAGCAGUAAAUAUGUUUGUCGAUUUGAAAUGGUAUUUAUAUCCAUAUCUAUAAUCUAUAUCUAUAUCUAUAAUCUAUAAUAUAUAAUAUAUAAUAUAUUAAAACCUCGAAGCAUAUAGUCCUUUUGUGUCCAGCCUUUUGCAUAUCUAUGAAUCAUUUAUUUUCUUGGUUGAAAAUAAUUCUAUGAUUCAUUUUCUUGUUUUUAAUGGUCUUCUUUUAAUCUUGCUUAGCUCAACAAAUGAAGGAGAUAUUUUUCUCUUUAAAAUCUCAACCCUUUUAUAUAUUUUUAGUAGUUUCCACGAUUGAUAAAUCAUUUGCUGAAUAAAUUAUUCAACAACUGCUGCAUAUUUUUCAGUAGUUGUUGCAUUUGUUUCACUACCUGCUGCAGUUGUUGAAACAUAUAUUGCAAGGGCAGGACCAACAAUAUAAAACUCGAACUCAGAUGAUUAAGACAAAUCAGGCUACAUACUUUAUUUAUUAAAAUUAUCGAAAAUUCUUUUUAAAGCAAUUUUUAAUGCUACACGAACAAAAUUUAGUUCAAAAUUGUAAAAAAGAAAUCCUCUCAAGCUCUUUGCAUAAGAAAUUCAAAACAAUAGCAGCAAUAACAACACCAAGAAUAGAGCAGCAAAAUAGAGGAGAGAAAGAGGAGGAGAAGAAGAAAAAGAAUGAAUGAAGAAGAAGAAGAGAAAAAAAAAGAGGAAGAAGAAACCAUUGGGAGAAAUUGUUGGGAGAGAAAAGAGGAAAAAGAUUUAUUUCUCUCCUUUUAGGAAUUAGGAUUUUAAUUAAAAUUUGAUUUAAAUUGUAAAUAGUAAAACUUGAGGAUUUAUUUAAAAGAAAGUCAAUUAUUAUUAAUUCUAAUUAUAAAUUUGUCACCUACAUCUAAUAUUUAAGACUUGAGUCACUCUUUUUACAUUUCAACUCUCUUUUGUCACCCUUAAUUAAUUCACUCAACUUACACCCUCUAAAUUGAAAAAUUAAAUAAAUAUAUUCUUCGUCAUAUUUUUUUAGAUAAAUUUAUUCUUAUUAUCAUAUUUUGAAAUUAAAUUUAUUAUUUUAUUUUUAAAACUAUCUAAAUAUAUAUUUUGUCCUGUUUUAGAAUCAAAUUUAAUUUUGAGGCCAUAUAUUAGGAUCAAAUUUAUUCUCGUUUUAAGAAAUUUUUCACAUGUAUCCUUCUUUUAAUAAAAAAGCUUAAAUCAACAUUAAAUGACGCAUUUUUUAAAGACUAAAUAAACUCUAAUCUAAUUCGUUGGACCCCUACUCAAACCACAAAAAAAUUCAUUUUACUUUUUGUUCAGUUGUAAACAAUCUGCCAACGUUGCACGUUGAAAAAGAAGUAGUUUUGUUUGUUUAAAAAAUUUAACCAACAAAAAAUUUUAUUUUACUUUUUGUUCGGUUGUAAAUAAUUUAUUUUUGUGUAUUUUUUGUUGGUCGAAUCAGGCAAAUUAAAUUAGAAUUUUAUUUAUUUUUAAAAAAUAAAAAUUUAACAUUGAUUUGAGCUUAAAAUGAGGUGUAUGGGUGAAAUUUUUUUUAACAAUGAGAUUAAAUAUAACUUCAAAGUAUGACAUUUAGGAUAGAUUUAGCCCCAAAAUUUGACGAACAGUAUAUUUAGUUAAUUGUAUAAAGUAAAAUAAUAAAUUUAACUCUAAAAUAUGACAGCAAGGUAAAUUUAAUUUUAAAAUAUGACAAAAUUAUAUUUAGCAAAUUUAAAACAGAGUGAUAAAUUUGACCCUUUUUUCAUUUUUUUAAUCGCAUUCGUAGUGAGGUUUUUUAAUGUCCUUUUUCUCUUGAGUUUUGGGUAUAAAAGAAGCGAUCAAGAAGAUAUAGGGAAUAACUAAUUUUAUUACAAGACAACUUAUUAUGUUCAUAUUUGGUCAGAGCAAAACAUCAUUUUCUUAUUAAUAUUAGAACAUAUUAAAAUGUGUAUUUAAUUGAAAUAGUUAAAACUAUCUGUUUUCUCAAUAUUUGGAUGCAUAAAACUUGUUUUUAUUAAAUAUUAGGGAAAAGUCAUCGUUUUUACCCUAAACUAUACACGAAAAAUCUAGGUCAGCCCUAAACUAUCAUAAUGUCCUAUUACACACCUAAACUAUAAAAAAGUGAAACUAUUUCCACCCUAAAUCUGAUGUGGAAAUAAAAUUUAAUUAAAAAAAAAAAGGUGCGUCCAAAAACAAAAAAAUUCUUUAAUACCCCCACCCUUCCUCCAUCUCACACAAAUUUUCUCUCCUUCAAUCCCAUCUUGAAUCGACGUCGGUCAAAAAAAAUGGUGAAACACAAAAGCAAGCUAUAUACGAUUUUUCCAUCGCUAGUGUCUGACCAAAUAUUUUCAAAGCUCCGCCAGUUCUUUUUUUUUUUCGUUCACACACAUUAAAUUUUUACGAAAUUUAGCUAUAUACGAAAGAAAAAUCGGAGAAUUUUACGAUUGCGAUGAAAUCAAUAAGAAGAAUUUUAUGGUUUUAAAAAGUAAUUGAAAAGCUAGUAAAGAGAGAAAGGAAGCUGUUACUGCUCUGGCCGGAAUCUUAUUGAAGCUAUUACCAGAAAAACAGACCGUUCCCCCCACUCUAUUCGCUGUCUUUGUUUCCUCUCCUUAUCUCUCGAUUUCUUUCCAUUUCCCCCUCUCUCUUCUCUCUACUCUCUUUAUGCCUUUUCUAUUUUUCGAUCGGGUGUGGUAUAGCUGUGUGUAUUGUUCUCUGGAUGAAAGAAAAAUGGAAGAUCCUCCAAAUAGUGUUGUGUGUGUGUAUCCCCAACAAUACUGAUUCAGAAUGCUAUUAAAAAUUUUGAUGAAAUUUGGUGGACUAUUAAAAAUUUUGAUAAAAUUCUUGAAAAAUGGGUUAUCAAGAACUAUGCAAUAUGCUUUAUUGACAAUCAAGUUGUUAUGUAAUUACAGUGAAAGGAUGUGCAUUUUGAUUGUGAGAGAAGGGGUGUUUGAGAUUUGUGAUACUAAUGAUUGUAUUAUGAUUCCGAUAAUUAAAUUUAUAGUGUUUUUAAAAUUAUUGCGGUGAAGAUUUGAGUUUUAUGAUGAUGGUGUUAAUGGUGUUAAUGGUGGACUUUUGGUGUGAAUGGUGGCGUUAAUGAUGAUGUUGUUAAUGAUGAUUUUGGUGAAGAAGAAGUAAUGGGUGAUGUGGACUUUUAAAAAAAAAGACAUAAUAUCUGAUGUGGUAAUGACUUGGCGAUGAUGUGGCACGAGAGUAAAUCACUCUCCAUUAUGUGACUGGUUCUUACGUUUUGGGGUGAAAAUAGUUUCACUUUUUUAUAGUUUAGAUGUGUAAUAGAACACUAUGAUAGUUUAAGUGUGACCUAGACUUUUCGUGUAUAGUUUAAGGUGGAAAUGAUGACUUUUUCCUAAAUAUUAUAUUAAUUUAAUAUUGCACCAGUAAAAUAUUUGAAAAUUUAUAUGACAGCAUUGGUGGUCAUGACUAUUAGCAGUAAAUAUGUUUGUCGAUUUGAAAUGGUAUUUAUAUCCAUAUCUAUAAUCUAUAUCUAUAUCUAUAAUCUAUAAUAUAUAAUAUAUAAUAUAUUAAAACUGUGAAUACCCUUAGAAAAAUGAUUUGAAACUUUUACCCUUCAUUAAAAGUUUUCGCAAUAGACAAAUUUGUCAUUAACUAUUUUCUAAGUUAUUUUAAAAUUAUUUUAUUUAUAUAAUUUUUUAUUUAAAAUCAAGGAAAAAACUUAAAAAGGAAAGCAUGAACGUGUAAAAAGAAAUCAAAAACCCUAUUCUUGAAAAGAAGAAGAGAAUCUUAAAUCAUAUAAAACCCCUCAAAAUAGAAAAAAAAAAAAAUCCUAAAUUAGCGUCUAGAAUUUAAUUUUUCAAAAGCUCAACGAGAACAACAAAAGAUAUAUCCUAAAUAGGUUUGCAAACAUUGAAAACUUUUAACCUUAAAAUUUAAUGAAAAACAUUGUAAGAACUAAAUUUAUAUAUAUAUUAAAAUGUGUACUAUGUAAAAACUCCUAAUAUUUAGGACUUUUAAUAUAGUUCAAAUUAGAUCUAGGGUUCUUUAUAUAAAGAGAGGAAAAAAGAUGGAAAGGUGAAAAAUCUCCAUGCAUAUUUCUUGAAUCUUUUUACUAAUUUUGCUAUCACAUGUAAUUUUUAUUAAUGUUUUAAAUUUAUAUUUAUCAGUGAGGAAAAUCGAUCUCAAGUCUCCCAUAUAUUUACUUUUCUAGCACAUUUAUUGUGUAUUGGAUAUAUAAAGAUAUAAAUUCAACAAAAGACAAGUAUUAAGGUGGAAAGUUAGUUCGAUAGCUAAGCCAAUAUUUUUUCACUUAUUUAUCCCUUGUGUUUGGAUAUUAUUUUUUGUAUUCAUCUAAAGACAGCAGCGAAUCGAGAGAUUUUCUAAAACUCUUUGUGAAAUUUAUCCCUCUCUAAAUGUUAGGUAUAGUCCUUAAAUCUAACUACGUUUACAAAUUUAUGUUAUUUACUUCACAUGUAAAAAUAAUAUGAUAUUACUCAUAUUUGUUUUCUUAAUUUUAUGUGUUUAAGAAAAACACAAAAAAUUCUUUAUUUGUGAAAUUCUAAAUUAUAGCCUAUAAGAGUAUUUUGUUUGAUAUUAUUUUUUGGGAUACCUAUGUAUUUGAUGUUUUGUUUUGUUUAAUACAGGUGGUAGAUUAAUGUUUAGUCGACUUUAUCGAUUUUUUUGUAAAGGUUAGUUUUGAUUAUAUUAUUUUAUUAUCUUAAUUAUUAUAUUAUUUUAUUUUAAGGGUGUCAAGUAGGCCGGCCCAACCCGGCCCUCGUAACUAAUCCGGUCCGGUUUGACCCGGCCAGGUAAACCUUAGGCCUUUAGGGUUCCGGGUCCCAGACCGGUUAUUUUUUUAAAAUGGGUUACGGCUAACCCUGCCCGGACCAAGCCCGGUCCAGGCCCGCCGGUUAACCUGCCCGACCCGGCCCGGAUACCUUUUUAAAAAAAAAAAAAAAAAUAAAAUUUUGGGCCAAACUAGCCGUUGGCCCAACGGCUAUAAAGCCGUUUUUGGGUCCAAACAGCUAGUUUGGGCCCAUUUAUUAAAAAAAAAAAUUAACUUUAAAAAGUAUUUUUUAAUCCCAAAAAAAAAUUUAUAAAUACCCUACAACUUCAAUCAUUUUUCACACAAUUUUUCACUCUCUCUAAUCUCAUUUUCUCUCAAAUCUCAAUUCUCAAAUAUUCAAUAUAUUUAAUUUCUUAAAGUGUUCACUUUAAUAUUUUAAUUUUUCGUUUACAAAGUAUGAGUGGAAUUUUCUAAAUUCGCAACCUUCGGAUACUUCCAAAAUUUGGUAUUGUCGCUCCAUCUCUUACGUUUAAUUUUUAUUUAUUGUAUUAAUUGUUUAAUAUUUAAUUUUAUUAUAUUUGUGUAUUUUGAAUAUUUUUAGUUUAAUUUAAUUUAUAUUAUGGAUAAAUUAAGAAACCUCGCNNNNNNNNNNNNNNNNNNNNNNNNNNNNNNNNNNNNNNNNNNNNNNNNNNNNNNNNNNNNNNNNNNNNNNNNNNNNNNNNNNNNNNNNNNNNNNNNNNNNNNNNNNNNNNNNNNNNNNNNNNNNNNNNNNNNNNNNNNNNNNNNNNNNNNNNNNNNNNNNNNNNNNNNNNNNNNNNNNNNNNNNNNNNNNNNNNNNNNNNNNNNNNNNNNNNNNNNNNNNNNNNNNNNNNNNNNNNNNNNNNNNNNNCUUCGCCUCCGGUACCUCUUGGUACACCUUUUGAGGAAGAAAUAGGUGUAGGUGCUCACGAUAUGGAUUAUGUAGAAGCUUAGGAAAAUUACGGUAUAGAAGAAGAAAAUGAAGUAGAUGCGGUUAAUUUAGACGAAGAUAAUGAAAAUAUUGCUGAGACACCCGCAGUAGGAGAUGCUAACGUUAGAUCUGAAUCGGUUAAUCUCCCUCCCCGUCCUCCCAGUGCCCCAAGACCUCGUAAAAGAACUAUUGUUGCAUGACAAUUUUUUGAACGUAUAUCAGAUAUUGAGUUGCAAUACAAUAUUUGUCAACAAAUAUAUAAGCAUAGAAGUGGAUGCAAACAAGGGGUAUGGGUACGUUAAUGAGACAUAUAGCUGAAGAUCACAAAAGAGAGUUAAAUAUUGCACAAGAUGGUGGGGAUGUUGGUGGACCAACACAAACUAGAAUGGACCCAGCAACCGGUCACGUAGCGAAGAAGUAUAAUAAAUUGAGGGACCGGAAAGAAAUAGUUAAAAUGGUAGUUGUGGGUUGUUUGCCUUUUNNNNNNNNNNNNNNNNNNNNNNNNNNNNNNNNNNNNNNNNNNNNNNNNNNNNNNNNNNNNNNNNNNNNNNNNNNNNNNNNNNNNNNNNNNNNNNNNNNNNNNNNNNNNNNNNNNNNNNNNNNNNNNNNNNNNNNNNNNNNNNNNNNNNNNNNNNNNNNNNNNNNNNNNNNNNNNNNNNNNNNNNNNNNNNNNNNNNNNNNNNNNNNNNNNNNNNNNNNNNNNNNNNNNNNNNNNNNNNNNNNNNNNNNNNNNNNNNNNNNNNNNNNNNNNNNNNNNNNNNNNNNNNNNNNNNNNNNNNNNNNNNNNNNNNNNNNNNNNNNNNNNNNNNNNNNNNNNNNNNNNNNNNNNNNNNNNNNNNNNNNNNNNNNNNNNNNNNCAUUCAUAAUAUUGUUUUUAUUUAUCAACAUUGUUAAAAAAUAUUCAAUGUAGAUUGUCCCUAACUUUUGAUCUUGGUCGUGCUGUAAAUAAAAAUGAUUAUUUAACCGUUACUUGUCAUUGGAUGGAUAGUAAUUUCGUGAUGCAAAAACGUAUUCUUGCUUUUUUAUAUGAUGAAGAUCGUAAACAUACUGGACAAUUUAUUGCUGAUUCUAUUGUUAAAAUUGCCGGAUAUUAUGGUAUCGAAAAUAAAAUUUUAUGUAUUGCUUUUGAUAAUGCUUCUAACAACAAGACUGCUAUAACAAAAAUAAAAUCUACGCUAUCUCCGCCCUUGCCUGAAAUUUUUCAUAUUAAGUGUGCAUGUCAUAUAUAUAAUUUAAUUGUAAAAGAUGGUCUUGAGUUUUUUGAGCUUUAUAUUGAAAAAAUUCGUCUUGCCGUUGGUUUUAUUCAAGGAAAUAAUCGUAGAUCGAGAAUUAGAGAAUUUAAAGUUAAAUGUCAAGAAAAUGGACUUACACCGAUUUUGAUGCCUGAGGAAAUUGAUACUAGAUGGAAUUCUACGUAUGAAUUUUUAAAAACUUGUUAUAAAUAUAGAAUUCCUAUUACACUAGCUUUUAACCAAUAUUGCGGUUCAUUUGCUGAUUCUGCUGAUUGCAUGCUACAUAAUUCUGAUUGAGUUGUAAUUAAUGAUCUUGUUAAGUUUUUAGAAAAAUUUCAUGUAGCUACGGUUGAAUUUUCCGAUGCUUAGUAUCCUACUGUUUGUAAUAUUUUGACAUAUAUAGCCGAUAUUUCUGGUUUGCUCAAAGAAUAUAAAAAUAAAGAAGGUUAUAAAGAAGUUAUUGGCGUCAUGUUUACGAAAUUUUAAAAAUAUUUUUUCUCGAUUCCCCCUAUUUACUUGGUUGGUGCUAUGCUAAAUCCGUGCAUAAAAUAUAAUAAUAUGUGCCAAUUUAGUACUCUUAUUUAUACUAACUUAAAAAUAAAUACUAACUAUGAUUCUGAACAAAUACAACCUAAUUUGUGGACGGCUAUGGCUGAUGCAAAGGAUUACAUAGAAAAAUUAUAUAAUCACUAUGCUGAUUUAUUUGAUUUAGCCGUACCUACAAAUAUCACUCCAACUGUCGCUCCUCAUCCUCCCGAGGAGCCAUCAUCUUCUAAAAGGCCGGUACAUAGUGGUUUUUCUGAUUCGUUUUAUGAUUUAAAUUGUUGGAACAGUGUUGAUGAGAGAACUUACACAUCAACUUAUCGGGAAGAGCUGAAAUAGUAUCUUCGGACGGCACCAGAGGAGCAUAGAUGACGGAUCAACACGUUGGAUUGGUGGAGGAGUAAUGAAACACAAUAUUCUAUGCUUUCAAGAUUAGCUAGAGAUAUCUUGAAUGUUCCAAUGUCAACCGUUGCAUCAGAGAGCACUUUUAGUCAGGAACGACAGCAACUUGGAGACAAUCUACACUCAUUGGAAAGCAAUGCAAUGAAUUUUCUAGUUUGCCUCAGAGAUUGGAUUAGAGCGGAAAGAAGAAACCAAUGAAUGGAACCGGAGCCGAGCGACGAGCUGAAACUUGAAGAAAUUAUGACUUCACGGGAGAACUCAGCAGAAUCAAGUCCAAUGCAUNNNNNNNNNNNNNNNNNNNNNNNNNNNNNNNNNNNNNNNNNNNNNNNNNNNNNNNNNNNNNNNNNNNNNNNNNNNNNNNNNNNNNNNNNNNNNNNNNNNNNNNNNNNNNNNNNNNNNNNNNNNNNNNNNNNNNNNNNNNNNNNNNNNNNNNNNNNNNNNNNNNNNNNNNNNNNNNNNNNNNNNNNNNNNNNNNNNNNNNNNNNNNNNNNNNNNNNNNNNNNNNNNNNNNNNNNNNNNNNNNNNNNNNNNNNNNNNNNNNNNNNNNNNNNNNNNNNNNNNNNNNNNNNNNNNNNNNNNNNNNNNNNNNNNNNNNNNNNNNNNNNNNNNNNNNNNNNNNNNNNNNNNNNNNNNNNNNNNNNNNNNNNNNNNNNNNNNNNNNNNNNNNNNNNNNNNNNNNNNNNNNNNNNNNNNNNNNNNNNNNNNNNNNNNNNNNNNNNNNNNNNNNNNNNNNNNNNNNNNNNNNNNNNNNNNNNNNNNNNNNNNNNNNNNNNNNNNNNNNUAUAUAUAUUGUAGUAUAUUUUAUAAGUAGUAGUAUAUAUACAUUGUAUGGUGCAUAUACACGUGUAUAUAUCUUGUAUAUUUAACGUAUACAUGUGUAUAUGUUUUAUGAAUUAGUAUAUAUCUACAUAUAUUGUAAUGUAUAUAUAUUGUAGUAUAUUUUAUAAGUAGUAGUAUAUAUACAUUGAAUCGUGUGUAUAUAUGAGUAAUUGACUAAUUGUGUAUAUGUGUAUAUAUUUUUUAAAUUCUAAUGUAGUAUAUACUAUAUAUAUAGUGUAUAUAUAUUAUUUAACGUAUUUAUUAUGUAUAUAGGUGGGUAUAUGUAAUGUAUAUUGAAAGAAAUUUUUUUUUUUUUUAUAUUUUUGACCAAAUUUAACCGAUUUUUUAAGCGAAUUUGAGCGAAAUUUGAUGAGUUUGACCGGAUUGAGUUAAGUGAACCGGGUUAGAGUGGAUUUAAUUUUUUUUACUGUUUGGCCCAGCCCUACCCGUCUAGCGCCAAAAUCGGCCUUUAACCGGCCCUCAACCCGAUUAAAAUAGAAGAACCGAUUCCAAGUUGGCCCGACCCGACCCGUUUGACACCCAUAUUUUAUUUUACAUACACGUGCAAGCACGUACAUUUGACUAGUUGAAUGUGGUAUCUUGGAGGUUAGUGAUUGGCAAAAGUCAUUAAAAGUUGAUAAUAGUGAAUGUGGUAUCUUGGAGGUUAGUGAUUAAAAGUUGUUGAUGGUGGUAGUUGGUAGUGAAGGCUCACAAUUAGUUGUGGAUUAUAGUAAUAGCUAGUUGUGACAAAUGAACAAAUGGGAUUAGAUUUGUAUGAAUUCAUUGGAUUGAGCUAAAAUAAAUUAGAUUGCAAUCUAAUCAUGAACGUAAAUUAAAGAAAAUAGAUAAUUAAAAUAUGAAUUAGGUAAAAUGAAUUAAUUGAUAUUAUCCUUUAGCAUACAAUUCUAAUUUUUCUUUUCAAUAAAUAUACAAUAUAUUCGUUUGUCAUUUGUGCAGAAUGCGCCCUUACUAUUGUGUAAAAUAUAAUCUACGUAAUAUAAUGUUAAUGAUAAGAGUUAACAACGUGGAUCUCUUAGCAGGCCUAGCCUAAAGCUUUUUGCUCUAGUAUUUUGUCAUGUCAUUCUAAUGAUUGCUAACAACAAUCAGACUUGUUGAGAAUUUAUUAAUACUUUGGGACAAUUUUUCUCGAUUUUAUAUAAAUGCAAAAUGGAUCUAACGUACAAUAGAAAUCUAGCUAUACUUAAAAGACUCAGUAAUCUAAAUUUUUUUCGUUUAAGUGCGACAAAAUUUAAAGUCACACUGAAAAAUUCCACAUUUGAAGGUAUAAUGCUCCGUAACAGCAAUGGCUCAAUAACCAAAGAAUUCAACUCCAAAAUUUUCGAACUUUAUCUCUUCACUACAACCUUGUAUAUAAGUUAUCAAAAUUGUAUACGCUGAGAAGAUAUGAAUCUUAGUCUGGAUCAUAACUUACCUCACCAUGUUUAAAUAUUUUGAUCAACAGAUCAAGACAUGCCCUCCUCUUCAAAUAACCCUUGAACUCAAAUUUACAGCACACAACAUUAAAACGUUCGCUAUACACGAACAUCCUAAAAAUAGAAGUCCUACCUCAGAGAUGAUUUCCAUAACUUAAAAAUUCAUAAUUUGCAAACAUGUGUUAUCUAACUUUACCCACUAGUCUCAAGCUGUGCCCCAUUCCCUAACGAAUAUCAUUAAGAGCAAGGUCCACUGUUUGACACAAAUACAAAAUAAAACUAAGCCACUACUCAUUUCUGCUCUUCCACUUCCCGUACGAUUCUUCUAAGAGCAUCAUCACAUUCACAUUAUCACAUUGUAUGAUUUCUUUGUAGACAUUGCUAAAUGGCCAUGUGUUUAGAUAUUUUGGGUGAUGUGCCACGAGUCAACCAACUACAUUCUAUUACCGAAUUUCAGUGACUGUUAGAUUCCAUUAGCGUCUUUGUCAAAUACUAUUAACUAAUUAAAAUCCAUAAUUUUGGAAUCUUCACCUCCGUUGUGUUCUUUCCUGCAAGCUAAAGAUAGACCCUAUCAAAAACCAACUCCAGGGGCUAUUUGUAUUCAUCUCGACCUAGUCCUAGAUUAGAUAUGAAAGUUGGGGAUCUAAAACAGCGGCAGGGCAAAAGAUAGCGGCAACUGUUAUGAGAACAGAAAGACAUGAAGAGCAGUAUACUAACAACUUAAAACUGUUCGUUCGAUAAUUGAAGGGACAACCAUAUUUCCACCGUUCAGCAGAAGGUUAUUUUUCACACAAUAUUCACCUAAAAAUUGCACAAGCUCAACACAACUGAAGGCUCAUUCAACUUGAACAUUGAAAACAUCUUUCCUCUCUUCUUCCUUCACCUUUGGAACCGCUACUUUCAACACCCCGUUCUUCAUCUCCGCCUUAAUCCCAUCCAAUUUGUACAGCUUUUGUGGAAUUUCCAGUCUGGUAGAGUACCUUCUCCUAUACUCUUCAUCCUCGGAUUCUUUCUCGCCCUCUCCUUUGAUGAUCAGCGUGUUCUGCUCCACUGCCACCUUCACAUUAUCCUUGUCGAGUCCAGGCAUAUCCAUUUUUAUAUACAGAGCAUCAGCAUCCUCCCUCACGUCCCAUCCUCUCCUUGAUGGGACUACGGCGCCCAUAGAACGAGGCGCCGCUACAAAUGGAGAAUCGAUCAUUUGGUCCAUCAUGUUUAGCAGCUGCCUCACACUCCUUGGCGGUGAAAAUGGAUCAAACACAUCUGUAGUAAACCAAAAGUGAGUCGGACUUUUUAAUUUACAGAGUUCUGAAGUGUAUCUAUUCUAAUUUGUUGAGUUCUAGAUGAAUUAUUUAUAUGUACACCGUAUAAUUUACGCAAAUAUAACAUUUGUGCCUUUCUAUACAAGUAGCUAGCUUAACAGAUCUGACUAAAAUAUUAUACUAGAUCACAAAUUUGAUUUAAAUAAAACAUAGUCGUUAAAGAGCAUAUGUUCUUUUCUAAAAGAAAAGGUUAGAUUUUAGAUACGCAUAAUACACAAAUAUGACCCUAAACUUGACACCAAAUUAUAAUUUCGACCUUAAACUUCGACAGUUCACAAAUAUAAACUAUAACUAUUUAAAAUUGCACAAAUAUAGCCUCCAAUUUUUAUGUGGCAAAAUGCAUUGCAAGUUUAGCUUAAAAUUUAAGACCUAAACUUUAACAAUGCACAAAUGACCUUUUAACUAUUCAGAUACGCAAAAACAUGACCUUUGAAUGAGUUUCCACUAUUAUUUUUCAUUAUUUUCAAUUUAAAAAUAAAAAUGACAUUUAAUUUUUUUUGCCAUUGCGAAAAAAGAACAAUAUUGAAAAUUUAUUAAUUAGGUAGACAACCUCGUACAAAAAAAAACGUGCAGAUAUAUAUAUAUAUUAUAAAGCUGAGGAUGAAUUUAAAUUAUAUAUUAUACCUAAAUAUAAUUUAUUUAAAUAUUAAAUUAAAAAUGAAACUAUAUUAAUAAUAAAAAAAAUUAUAAUUUAAACAAAACACUAUUAAAUUAACAUUAUUAAAGACAGUAGUAAUAUAUUAAAUUAAUGCUAUCAAAUUAAUAUUAUUAAAUUAAAGUUAUUAAAAUGUUAUUAAAUUAAUGCAGUAGCGAACCUAAAUGGUUUCCAUGGGUUUCACCUUGGUUAUAAAAUAAAAAAUGCAUAUUUAUGUUUGUAUGUUAAUAUUGAACCACAUAAAACAAAAUACUUAGAUAAUCCAGUGAUGUUAUUUACUCGACUUCCUUUAAUCUACUGCACAAAUUCGAUGCUUGCUAAUGACUGUUUUUUUAAAUUAAAAGAAAUUAAAUGCUGCUAUAAAAAUAAAUAAAUAAAUAAAUAAAUAAAUAAUAAUAAUAAUAAAAAUAAAUUUAUUUUAACACAAAAAACAAAACUUUGACAAUACACAAAUAUAACCUUCAACUAAAUAUAACCUUUAACUAUUUAAAACAGCACAAAUAUAACCUCCUUCCAAGCCGGUCCUUUUAAAGACAUGACAUCAUAUAAUUAAAUUAUAAUUUUGCAUAGAUACGAGUGAGAUUCACACAUGAAAUUGUGAAAUCAGAUGUCAUAUUUGUUCAGAUUUGAUAUUAAGUUUAGAAUUGUAUUAUUUCUUUUAGAUAAAUUAUGUAAUUUAUACAUAUUAACUGAUGUCUUUGACGCCUAGUUACUGGAUUCCACAGCCUGUAUAGAGGAGUAGCUAGCUUUUUUAACAGAACCGACUACUCAUACAUCAUACAGAUCUGGAAGAGCUUUUUCUUAAAUAAAAAGAAAAAAAAAAAAACUUUUAUCAGAUUCUAGCUUAGAUUAUUUAUACAAUACAAUUAUAAGAUUUGAGCCUGAACUGUUGAAUUUUAGGACCCAGUACGUACAAGUAGCUAACUUAAACAGAGCCGACUAUUAUCAAACUAGAUCGCAAAAUUGUUUUAAAAUCAGAGAUUUGAUUAGUAUAUACUUAUUACAACAAUCUAUUAGAUUCAAGACAGAUUAUUUAUACAUAUUAAAUAAAUUUUCUUCCAUAUAAAUAACAUAUAUCUCAAAAAUCACGAUCAAAAGACAAAACAUAUUAAAAUUUCAAAAUUCAAAAACUGCUCACAUAAAUUGAAACAAAACAAAGUACUCUAUAAGAUUUGAGCCUGGAUUUCGCCAUCUAGUGUAUGCACGCAGGAGGCGAUUUUCUAGCUGGAUUUAAAAAAAUAUGUUAUCGCACCAUCUACUCUUAAUUCUUUAAGAACCAUUUAUGCCUUAAUAAAAAUAUUUUGUUGUUGUCAUGAAAUAUAUCAUAAAUUUGAGUGAAACAGAAGAGGAGUAAAUAAGUACCUGAGAAGAAACUGGGUAAACCGUCCUGACGGCGAGACACGGAACGACCGGAGCGCCUAUCAACAUCGACUCCGCGAUCAUCUUCAUCGUAAGAAGCCAUCUGAGCGUUAGUAUUGAAAGAUCUGAAAACAGAAGGAGCAACUGAUGCAGAACGGACAGGGUUAACAAGCCUGUUGUAGAGGGGUGAGAUGGUAACCCUCCUAAGAGCCAUUGAAGUUGCCAUUGAGAAAUAAUGAGCUGCUAUGGAGUUGAUUUUUGACGACUAAGAUGAUAAUGAUUAAUGUGUGUACGUAUAAUGUGUUGGUUUUAUAGCAUUUAGAGUGACUUGGAGAAGGGGAAAAGGGAUUCUAGAAACGCAUAGAAAGCAUAUUGUAGAAGGUUCCAGAGUUGUGGUGUGCACAUUUUUUGAAGAACGUUCUCGAGGCUAGUAGAAAAAUACACAUAUUCCGGAUUUUUUUUCGUUAUUAAACAUUGUUUUAUUUUUUUUUGGGUAGAACAUCAUAUGAUAAUUGAAACGAUUUAGGGUGUGUUUGGUACGAUGGAAAAUGUUUUCAUAGAAAAUAAGUUAGUGUUUUACUUAUUUUCUUGUGUUUGAUUGUUAAGUGAAAAAUAUUUUUCAAAAAAUAUUUUAUGGUGUUUGAUUGAUGAAUAGAAAAUGUAUUUUUUUUACCUAAAUUUUAACUUUACAUGAGAGUGUGACCCUCUAAUUAAAAAUAUAAUAUAUUUUUUAAAACAUAAGUAAUAUUUAAGUACACAUUUUUAAUUAUUCGAUCAGUUUGUAUGAGAUGUAACAUCAAUUAUAAUACAUUCAUCUGAUCAAAUUUAGAAAACAAUGUAAUUUUUUAUUACGAAUUGAUAAAAUAAAUUUAUAAUAAGGUAUUUUUUAUUUUGUAUUUAUUAGAAAAUAACUUCUUAAUACAAUUUAUGAAAGAAAAAAAUCAAAAAGAGUGAGGUAGGUGGUACUUGAUUUGAUAAAAUGAAGCAAUAAUUAAAAAAAAGAAUUGGUAAAAAACGUAAUAAAAAAUUAUAAUUUAUAAAUUGUAAUAAAAAGUUUUAAUUUAUAAAAGUUUUAAAAAAUUAUAAAGUUUUAAUUUAUAAUUUUUUUUUAAAAAAAAUUCAGUGUAUUAUCACAUCACUUUUUUAUGUCAAAUCAUGUAAUCGUAAUAAAUUAUUAUGUUUUAUAAAAAAGUUUUGUGAACGUAAUAAAUUAUUACUACAUUUUACUAAAAAAUUUUUACUAUACACAUCUACCAUUAAACCACUUAAAAAGGUAUAAAACGUAAUAAAUUAUUAUGUUUAGCCUAUUCUAGUAAUUUAUUAAAUAGGUGAUCUGUUUUGAUCAUUUUAUUCAUACUAGUUUAGUAUACGUACGUUGCACGUGUAUUUUAACUAAAGAUAUUAAUCAUUUUAUACGACAUUCAGAAAGAGAAGUUUUUACUUGAUUAAUUGAUUUCAAAUUGCUACAUAUAUUAGGACUUUCAACAUAAUUCAAAUAAGAAAUUUUUUAAUUAUAAUUAAAAUUUCAUUUGAUUUUAAAUUAUUAAUUUUUUUAAAAAAAUAAAUAAAUAGCAAUUUUCAAAAACAUUCAGAAAGAAAAUCUUUUACUUGAUUAGUUGAUUCCAAAAUGCUACAUAUUAGGAGUUUCAGUAUAAUUUAAAUAAGAAAAAGUUUACUAAUAAUUAAAAUUUUAGUUGAUUUUAAAUUAUUAAAAUUUUUUUAAAAAAUAAAUGACAAUUUUAAACAUCUUAACAACAUAAAUAGUACCACUAUAAAUGAAACAACCCAUAAAUUGAUAAGUAAGAAGUAGAAAAAGAAUAAUAAUGGUAAGUGAUACUAUAUUGUGUUAACACAAAAUUACUUCUUCACUAAAAGAAAAUUAUAAUUUAGAUAAGUUACUCAUUAAAAUUAUGUUUGUUCUCAGGACUUCUAAUCAAAGUAAGGUCAUCUAUUCUCUUUUAUAAUUCAUGUAUGUAUUGGUAAUGAAUAGAGAUUUUUCACAAAAACAAUAUACAUAUUAUACUAAAAUAAAAUAAUAUACAUCAUAUUAGUUAUUCAGUGCUAUAUUUUGAAGAGCUGGUGGGAUGGGGGACAGAGCCACAUAGGAAUGUUUGAACAAUUUAGUGAUGCAUGCAUAGGAUGUUGAAAUAUUUUCUUUAUAUCUAAAGCUUUUCUCCUAACUAUUUUUUUAUCAUUGCCAUUUUAGAGGCAAAUGCUAUGCAUUAUCCUAUGACUGUUAUGGUCCCUAACUAUAUAUCCCACCUGCUCCAUCCCAAUCUUGUCUAGCUAUGAAACUCUCACCAGUAUUAAGUUUUCAGGUGCUGGUUGAUGAGCUAGGUUUUAAUUAGAUAAUAAUAUUCAUGAGGUCUUAAUUCACGAAUAAAGGCUUAUAAUGAGCUAAAUUUUAGUAAGAAAAUAAUAUAAGCUUUCACCCAUACCAUUAUGCAACAAGCAUUGGCCUUUGUAAGAUUGGUUAAACAAGAUCCUAAUAAUAAGAUGUUUUUUUAUCAAAAUGUGAGUUAAGACAAUAAUUCACAAUCAAAAUAGAAGCUGUGAAGACUGAUUAUAGAGAAUGAAGCUUAGCCAUCUUUAAUAAUUAGUUCAUACUUCUUAAUAAAACUUAAAACAAUAGAUCUUACGAGAUCAUGCCAAAUACCAAAUCUUUCAUCAGAAUCUAACACAAAAAUAAAAUAAAAUAAGCAUAGAUGCAAAUUUAUAUGAACUAUUGUAUAUUUUUGAGUCCAUCAAACUUUUUACUUUUCAGAUUUGACUCUAGGACCUUUCACAUUGAUGAUGAUGGAUGUGUUGGUUUUCAAAUAAACCUCAGUACUCUCAAUGCCAAGGAAAUUGUUGUCAUCAUAAAAAUCACCAAAUAAAAUAUGAUUUCCUACGUGAAAACUGAAGUCACUGCAUCAAUAGAAGGAGAUGUGGCGGCAAAUGGUCCAUAUAAACCCUUGUUUGUAACAUAUUUUAUAGAUUUUAGAAUUGUAAAAGGACCGCUUGAUGUUUCAAAAGAACCACUUAUGAAAGUAAAAAAUUCUAAUAAAUAAUCAAAUACAAACAAGAGUUUAGACGGUAAUUAAAAUUACCAUGACGUUGGGACAUAAGUAAGGUACCAUUCUUGUAAAAUAGGAAUUGAAUUGAAUAAAUUGCCCAUAGGCUGUAGAAAAAAAAAUACCAGCAACUUGGUCUCAUCCAUUUUUAUCUCAUAAGGUUCCUCAAAACUUCCCAACAUUCAUCUACCACCUGUAAAGUAUAACAAAACGAUAUAAUAAUAGAGAUAUCAAAACAAUACAAUUAAACCUAACUUUAACCUCCCCAAAACCCUCAAAGUCUAAGGACAUUCAUCUACCACCUGUAAACUUUCAUAGAAUAAUACAAUAAUAAAGAUAUCAAAACAAUACAAUUAAACCUAAUCUUUACCUAAAAAAGUUUCUCAAAGUCAACUGACAUUUAUCUACCACCUGUAAACUACAUAAAACUAUACGAUAAUAGAAAUAUCAAAACAAUAUAACUAAACCUAAUAUUUCCAAAGGCGCAAGUCGAGCAAUGUAUCUGAACUGAAAUAUAAAAAAAUGUGGAAAAGUAUCAAAAAAUUAAACCUAACCUUUACACUAACAAAAUAAUAAGAUAACAGAGAUAUCACAAAAUUAAAAAUAACCUUUACACUAAUCUUAAAGUCAACUGACAUUCAUCUACCAUAUGUAAACUACUAUAAAACAAUAGAUAAUAGAGAUAUCAAAAUAAUACAAUUAAACCUAAUUUUUUCAUAAAAAUUUCAUCAAAGCCAACAGACAUUCAUCUACCGCUUGUAAACUGCAAUAAAACAAUACGAGAAUAGAGUUAUAAAAAAAACUAAACCUAACUUUUACACUAACCUCAAAACCGAUCAGGAUGCAUCUACCACCUGUAAACUAUAAUAAAAUAAUAAAAUAAUAGAGAUAUCAAAAUAAUAAAAUUAAAUCUAAUCUUUAUACAAAAAUUUAUUCAAAUUGAUUGACAUUCAUCUACCACCUGUAAACUACAACAAAACAAUACGAUAAUAGAGCUAUCAAAACAAUAAAACUAAACCUGAUAAGUUCCUUCGCAAAAACUAUUAAAUUCAUAGCUGCAGUUAGUGCUCAAAGUUGCAACGUAGAUUAUAUAUAUACCCACUAAAUUAUACAAACUUCCAAAAACUAUUAAUUCAGGGGUCUUUUUUUUUUUCCUUUUAUAUCAUGAAGUAAUUUUGGUAAAAAGAACAAAUCCUAAAAUUCUUUUAUUUGCAUCUUGUUUUAUUUAGGAGAGAAUCUUAAUACAAAGCAAAGUUAGCCUAAUUAGAUUUUUUUUUUUCAAUUUAAAGUUUUUUACGUCUUACUUUUAUUAGGAGGAAGUCCUCCUAAUACAAAAAAAAAAAUCACGUCUAAUUUGAUUUUUCUUUUUUUUGGGUCAAUUUGAGGUUUUCGUUUAUUAGAUUUAGGACUUUUUUAUUUUAAAUAUUACAAAUAUAAUGAUAUAAUAAUUGAAGAAAAUAAGUAAAAAGAUAAUUUUGUCUAUUGCAAAAACUUUUAAUGAAGGACAAAAAAUUCAAAUAACUUUUCUAAGGUUCACACUUUUAAUAUAGACAGACAGACAGAUAGUAGACAGACAGACAGACAGACAGACAGACAGAGAGAAAGAUUAUAAAUUAUAGAUUAUAGAUAUAGGACUAUAGAAAGAGAUUACCAUGUAUAGGAGUUUGCAACGUGAUUUUAAAUAAAUAUUUAAUAUAGAACUUUGCAAAAAUCUUUGUAAUUUAGGAUAUUUUUGGACGUUAUAGUUACCUACCUGAAAUAGAAUAGGACUUUGUAAUGUAAAUAACGAUGUAAUAUAGGAUUUUGUAAUUUAAAUUAAUAUUUAAUAUCAUAAAAGUGGAAAAGACAAUUUUGUUUAAAAUGAAGAUUUUUAAUGAAUGGCAAAAAAGACAAGCACCAAUUAUAAGGGCCUUCGCACUUUUAAGUUUAAUAUAAUAGAGAUCUUGGUUCCAAGUUCCCAUAAGUUACAUCUCAAUAUUUUCUAGAAAAUGACUUUCCUUAACUCAUGAGGGAAGUCAUUUUCUUUCAAAUGGAGAAAAAUGAGUUCCUUUGAAAAAUAUUUUCCCAAAGUUUUAUUACAACCAAAAUAGGAAAUUCAUCAUACCAAACACACCUUUAAUACUUUCAGCCUCAUCUUAUAUCAUUCUUUUCUUUUUAUCUAGUUUCAAAAAUAAUAUCACUUUAGAAUAAUUAAAAUUUUAAUUUUAAUUUUUUUUUUACCUUCUUUGAUAAUUUGUAUAUUUAUCUUUUUAUAUUCUAAAUCUCCUUAGUAAACAUCAAAAUAGAAAUACUAUGAUAAAAGAAUCAUAUAAUAAUUAUUUUUUAAUAUAUAUAUCUAGUUAAGAUGUGACAAGUAAAAAUAAAGAAAAAGAAUAUAAAUUUUAAACAUGUCAACUAUAUUUUGAAACUGCCAAAGUAUCUAUAUUUACAUUUAUUUCAUUAGAAAAUCAAUAAUCUCAUUUUGAAACUAAACACAUGCAUUUAUGUUAAAGGUCAGUCAUUCAUUCAACUUUAAACUUUAAACUUUAAACUCUUCCUACAGUUUUAUUACUUCUAAUCAUUAUAAGUUAUCUCACUCUUUGAAAAAUAAAUUAGAACUAACUAAUACUUAAUAAUAAAGAUAAAAGAGGAUCAAAAAAUAGCAAAACAUUUCUUAUUUUUAAAAUAGAAUAAGUAAAAAUGAAUAUCUAUUUUUAAUAUAGUGUAUAAGAAAAAGCAAACGAAAGGAGUAUUUGUUUUUCUCCUCUUAGAGGUCUUUCCGUAGAAGGGAUGGGACAAGGAAGGAUAUCUCAUAAGGUAGGAAAUCUCAUGAAACUAUUUUUUUCCUCCCUUUCGGUGAGAUAGUUAUCCUAUCAUUUUAGUGUAAAUGGUGGGAUAAACUAGCCCCAUGAUUAAGAAAUUUCUUCUAUCAUAUAUGAGAUAAAGUUGAUCCCAACUGUUAUUUCAAAAUUAUUUUUCUUAUCCCUUCUACUAAACGACCCCUUAAUCUUAUCUCAAAAUCUUGGGAGGAUUUUACAAUUUUAUACUCUCUUCAUUUCAUUAUAUUUGAUCAAAAUAUUAAAGAUGAUUUUUUUUUUUACUUGUUGAUUUUAACAAAUUAAAAAAAUCAAAAAGUUCUUUAAUUUUCUUACAAUACUAUCCUUGAUAUUAAAUAAGGGUAACUUACAUAAAUCCCUGAAUCUUUAAGUGAUAUUACAUUUUAUCCCAACUAUUUGGUUAAUUAUAUCUUAUCCCGAUUUUUUGAAAUCGUAAUACAUAUGUUAUAGGUGAUACAUCUAAAAAGUGAUACAUUUAAAACUGACUAGAUAUUUAUUUAAGAAAGUAACAGAUUAUCUUUUAUUCUAUGGAACAAAUCACGCACAAUCAGUUACACAAUGAAUUAAUGGGAUUUACAAAAUCAGCACUACCCCAAUCAACUUUCAAAUUUCAAACGAACAAAUCGAGCCGGAGAAAUGGAACACAACCGUAAAUGAGAUUUGAUGCACAAGAUUAUUUUAAAUGAUAAAAUUGAUGAUAGUGGUAUGAUUGUUAGCAAUUGUAUGCAUUAUAAUUCACAAGUGGAGGAUCAAAUUAAUAUUUCAAAGGAUUCUACAAUGCAAAUUGAGAAGUCCAAUCAUGGUAAUGUUGACACUGGUGUGGCGACUGUUUCAAUCAUUCACAAGGAGAUUCAUCCUAUUUCUGGGCAAUUACAUGAAGAAAUAAUGGUAAGACAUGAAAGGGGUGCUCAAGCCGCCUCUCCUAUGUCAAUUUCUAGCAGUGAAACGCCGGAGUUGCAGACUAGUAUGACCUCGUCGGCGGAAGUGAAUGAAGAAGAGAAGGAAGAGAAGAGGAAUUAUUAUUUGAAUACGUGAUACAUCUGAAAAUCUGAAUUAUUAUUUGGCGGCGGGGGAUUACUAUGUAAUACAUCUGAAAUAUGUGUGGUACAUUUAGUUGUAUUUCUAUGUUUUUUAUAUGAUUCAUAUUAAAUGUUUAUGAAAGUUCUGUGAUUAAUAUUAAUAUUGUCUGCAUUAGUUUAAAGAAGUUAUAUUAGUGAUACAUUUUUAUAGUUGAAAUAAAUGUAUGUAUCACCAAUAAACUGACAAUAAAUGUAUCACUCAUACAUUGUCAAUAUAAAUAUAUCAAUAAUAAUAUAACAACAAAAUGUAUCACUCCUACACUGUCAACGAAUGUAUCACUCAUAUACUGAUAACAAAAGUAUCAUUCAUAUGAAUCACCGUUACACUAUGAAAAUGUAUCCAAAAACUUAAUACUCCUAUUUUAUAUAUGUAUCAAUCUGAUUAACAAAAAAAUAUGUAUGACUUAUAUGUAUCACCAACGAAUUUCAUACUAGUAUUAACUUAAACAUGUAUGAAUAACUAAAUAAAUUUAUAUAUGUAUCAAUCAUUUUUUUUUUAAAAUGAGAGAGAUUUUAGAGGAAAUUGUGAAAAAAAAAAUAUGUGUAUAAUUUGAGAGAGAUUUUAGGAAAGGUAAUCUUUGAAAAAAAAUAUAUCUUACUGAGUUAAUGGUGGGGUAAAAAUAGGAUGCGGGGUUUUGUUGAUAUGUAUUAAGAGUAAAAUUGAAAAUCGAAAUUUAAUGUAAAUUUUUAAAAAGUAAAGGAAUGUUGGGUAAUAUAGUCUCUUAAGUUUGGGAUUUGUGUAAUCUAUCCAUAAACAUAUUUCUUUUCUAUAUAUUAGAAAUGAUGGUUUUGACAUGUUAGUUUAUGGGUAUUAAAACAAAGUUUUAGGAUACUAAGGUCUAUAAAAUAUUUUGCAAGAUUAGUUUGCUUAGGAAAAUUGUAUUUUGAGUUUUAAUGUUUGGACCUUAUCAACAACUAUAAGAACCAAGCAUGGUUAGCCUAGUGGUUAGUUCACUAGGUCGCUUAAGCAAGUCUCGGGGGUUCGAUUCCCACCUUGUGCAUGCAACAACCAAUUGGCCAGCGGUAAACUCUUAAAUGGAGCUCAGAUCCGCGGAGGAUUAGUCCUUGGCCUGUCGGGCUGGGGAUACCUUAGAAAACCAAAAAAGAAAAAAAAAACUACAAGAAAAAUCCAUCCAUUUUGAAUUAAUUACAACUCAUGUCAUUUCAAUAAAUUACCACUUUGCCAUUGAUGCUACUCUAUUGAAUAUGAUGGGGCCCAUAGACGAUUAUCUAUUCUCAUAUCUUCCAUAUGGGCCCAUAGAUGAUUAUCUAUUCUCAUUUCUUCCAUAUAAAACGUGAAAGGUAAGUGGUUUUGACAUAUGUGCUUCUGCAUGCUCCGUAAUUUUACUAUAUUAUUCUUAAUUAAUUAUUAUAAAUUAUUUAUAUAUUAAAAAAUUAAUAAUGUUUAAUUAAAAUAAAAUAAAUAUUUAUGACAUAUCUACUUUAAUCGUAAUUAUACUAUAUCAUCCCUAAUAAAUGAUUAUCAUCCCUAAUUAAUUAUUAUAUCACAUAUAAUUAAUUAUUAUAAUAUAUAUAUAUUAUUUUAUUUAUUAUUAUUUUUUCUAUAUAAUAGAACCAGUGCUUCAUCAAUUACUAUACUACCCUUACUUAUUCCGUGAUUUACUAUAUUAACCCUAAUUAAUUAUUAUAAUUUAUUUAUAUAUUAGAAUUAAUAAUAUUUUUUUAUUACAUUACCCCUAAUUAAUUAUUAUAAGUUAUUUAUAUAUUAGAAUUAAUAAUAUUUAAUUAAAAAAUAGAUAUUUAUAACGUUUGUUUCAACUGCUUUAAUCAUGGUUUUACUAUAUCAUCCCCAAUUAAUUAUUAUAAGUCAUUUAUGUGUGGUUUCAACUAGUGCUUCAUCAAUUAUUAUACUACCCCUAAUUAUUCCGUGAUUUACUAUAUUACCCCUAAUUAAUUAUUAUAAUUCAUUUAUAUAUUAGUAUUAAUAAUAUUUUUUUGUUAUAUUACCCCUAAUUAAUUAUUAUAAGUCAUUUAUAUGUUAGAAUUAAUAAUAUUUAAGUAAAAAAGUAGAUAUUUAUGACGUUUGUUUCUACUGCUUUAACCAUGAUUUUACGAUAUCAUCCCCAUUUAAUUAUUAUAAGUCAUUUAUGUAUUAAAAAUUAAUAAUAUUUAAUUACAAAAAUAGAUGACAUGUCUGCCUGUAUUAACCCUAAUUGCUCCGUGAUUUAUUAUAGUACCCCUACUUAAUUAUUGUAAGUCAUUUAUAUAUUAGAAUUAGUUAAUUAUUAUAACUCAUUUAUAUAUUAAAAUUAUUAAUAUUUAAUUAAAAAAUAUUUAUUUAUGAGGUUUGUUUCAGCAGCUUUAAUCGUGAUUUUACUAUAUCAUCCCAUUUAAUUAUUAUAACUCAUUUAUGUAUUAAAAAAUUAAUAAUAUUUAAUUAAAAAAAUAGAUGACAUGUCUGCCUAUAUUACCCCUAAUUGCUCCGUGAUUUAUUAUAUCACCCCUAAUUAAUUAUUAUAAGUCAUUUAUAUAUUAGAAUUAAUAAUAUUUUNNNNNNNNNNNNNNNNNNNNNNNNNNNNNNNNNNNNNNNNNNNNNNNNNNNNNNNNNNNNNNNNNNNNNNNNNNNNNNNNNNNNNNNNNNNNNNNNNNNNNNNNNNNNNNNNNNNNNNNNNNNNNNNNNNNNNNNNNNNNNNNNNNNNNNNNNNNNNNNNNNNNNNNNNNNNNNNNNNNNNNNNNNNNNNNNNNNNNNNNNNNNNNNNNNNNNNNNNNNNNNNNNNNNNNNNNNNNNNNNNNNNNNNNNNNNNNNNNNNNNNNNNNNNNNNNNNNNNNNNNNNNNNNNNNNNNNNNNNNNNNNNNNNNNNNNNNNGAGUUAAUAAUAUUUAAUUAAAAAAUAGAUAUUUAUGACGUUUGUUUCAGCUGCUUUAACCGUAAUUUUACUAUAUCAUCCCUAAUUAAUUAUUAUAAGUCAUUUAUGUAUUAAAAAUUAAUAAUAUUUAAUUAAAAAAAAUAGAUGAUAUGUCUGUUGCAGCUGCUUCAACCAUAAUUUUGCUAAAUAUCGCUUAUAAUUAAUUAAUAUGAGUCAUCUAAGUGUUACAAAUUUAAUCAUAUUUUAAAAAAAAUAAAAUAGACAUAAAAUGAUAAAUUAACUUUUGAUGUAUUAAAUUAAGUUGACCUCCUUCAACUGUGAUUUUACUGUAUCACCCCUAAUUAAUUAUUAUAAGUCAUUAUGUAUUAAUAAAUUCAUAAUAUUUAAUUAAAACAUUGGUUUCGUCAUGACUACUUCAAGAGGUGCGUCGUGAUUUUACUACAUCACCCCUAAUUAAUUAUUAUAAGUCAUUUAUGUAUUAAAAAAUUAAUAGUAUUUAAUUAAACUAGAAAAAUAUGUGUUUAUGACAUGUUUGUUGCAGCUGCUUCAACUAUAACCAUCUUUGAGAAGAUGAUCCAGGACUUUGUUGUUAAUUGAAGUAUCUUUUGUUCCAGUUUUUAUAUGAAAUAAUACUAUGAAUAUUAAUUCUACAUCUUUUCUAUAUUUUGUAACAGGUCUCAAUCUUAACAUCAAACAAUUAAAAUAACCUGACUACAUGAAACAUCACACUUUUUUAUCAUGUGGAAAAAAACUAUCUUAUAAAACUUCACUUCUUAGCAAGUACCGUCAAAUAGUUAUUAUUUAAAAAAUUAUCGUUUUAAAUCAAUGUACAUUUAUGUUUGUAUCUCAUCAAUAUAGAAUAUUAGUGCUAAAAAAUGUUUAUAGUGUUGGAUUCAUGCUGACACGGGCCAUGCACCUCUAGUAAAAUAAUAUGGACGAAAGUCUUAUUGGUUUUCGAGUUUCCCUUAUUGAGGAAGAUAAAAGGGUUGGGCCGACCCAAAAUUGGAUCGGAUCAAACCAAUUUCAACCCUGACUAGACUAAAAACUAGUCUAACCUGGUAGUGCCAUGUCAUUCCUUGACCACUUACCAACCCAAUUUAAUGGACAAUUUUUUUUAAGUAUUAAAUACUUAAAAUAACUUAAUUUUAAUCAAGUUAAAACAAUAUUACUCCCUUGAUUUUAGUUGAUUUAAUUUGUCUUAUUUUGACUUAAUACGAGGUUUAAGAUAGUAAAGAAGAUUUUUGAAUCAUAUGAUCUUAAUAUCAAAAUAUCUUUUAACCUUAUGAUUUUAAACAUAUUAUGUUAAAAAUUAAAAUUAAAGAAUUAUCAAAAAGAAAAAGAGACAUGAAUCAACUAACUAAACGGUUGGAGAACCAAGUCAUCUUUCUUACCAAACACAAAUAUAGACAAAUCAAACCACUACUAACUAAUUAUAUCAAAAUCAAAAUGAAAGUGCGGAAGUAUCUCUAUUAUUACAAUUCUCGAAAUUUGAAAAUCAUCGUACAAGAACUCUAAAGCUAUUCAAAUCAAGGUCUAACAUCAUCCAAAAUGCUAAAUAAAAAUGAAUGUCGUGUCCCAAAACAAAGGACAUGAAUAAGAUAAAUAUGAUCCAAUGACUAUCCAGACUUGGUACUCACCCUUAAAUCGAUACUGGAGUCAUGAAUUAGAGCCAGAUCUCAUCUCAAACGCUGAAACAUGCUUUGCACUCAAUAAAAGAAGAGCACAGGUAGUAUUAGUACAAUAACUAGGUACUGAAGUUUUGUAGGCAUUAUCGACCGAUUUAACUCAACACCGUACAAAUAGGCAAGUGAAAUAUAAAUAAAAAAUGAUCAAGACACGACUCACAAUUAGGUGAUAAUCAAAUGUACAAUCAUAACAAUUCAACUCACCCAUCAGUAGCCAUUUUCUUCAUACAACAAGAGUACAAGUAUAAAAAUAUAUCCGUUACACGUACGUAGAUUUAUCCAAUAAUAGUAAACACAAUGUACAUACAAAUGUAAUGAUGAUUGCAAGCAUGCAAGAUAUACACACAUACUAAGGUCAUCAGUGACCCUCAAUUAUGACCUGCAAAGGACGAGCUCAGUCUAUAUAUCAGUAUCAUAAUGGUAUCAAAUCCAAUAACAACGUCGGCGUGAUAUUCAACCCAAACAACAGUAUCGGCGUGACACUUCAUUUAAAAAAUAGUGUCGACGUGACAUCCGAUCCAAUAUCAUCUCAACAUAUAUAUAAUCUCAAGACCAAAUGCUCAAUAAAUGAUAAAAAGUCAACAAUUACAAGCAAUGCCCAAAAGCUAAUCAUAUACAUUCAGAUUACGUAUGAGCACAGGGUCAAAUCAAGUCUAUACUACCAUUAAAUCAUAGCCUACCACAAUUUCUUGCCCGAAAAAUACUAUUUGAACAUAGUUUUACCUUUUCUCUUGAUUUAUAUUCAUUCUUGAUCUACAAACAAUAAUUACACGUGUUUCAACGCAACAAUCUACACUACUAAGCAUUAUAAACUCAUAUCUGUCAGUUUCAAUCUAUGACUUUGUUGCGUUCGAAAUCGAGAUGGCGUCAUGCGGAAGCUUAAAGUUUGCGAAUCUUGAGAUGAUAAGCCAGACAACAAAGAAAACAAUACUAAAAACAUAAUAUUAUUAUAUGAUUUGGCCAAUCGGCAUACAUAUAAAACCUAAUAUUAAAAAAUAUUAAACCUAUUGGGAGAAAUCUCCCCCUAAACCAGACUCUUUGAUGACUAUAUUGUGAAUGUUAUUGUGUUAUGGUAUGAGAAGCGGGAUCUUCUAUUUAUAGAUGUCCAAAACUUUUCCUCUAAGAAAGAGGUUAGCCAAAUAUGGAAAAGAAUUAUAUUUUCCUUUUAGGAGAAAUAAAAGUAAUUAUGGUUACUUUAGUUUCCUUUCAAGAAAAAGUAAAACUUAAAUUUGGUAAAAAAAAAUCAGGACAAAAACCCUAACAGACUUGACCUAGUUCAUCAUUUUAAGGUUUUCUACUUUUUGUUCCCCUUGAAUUCUUCGUAUUUUAAGUUUACAAAAGCAAAUCAUAUCACAAGAAGUGUUUUCUAACAUCCUAGAAUCAAUAACUACUUAAUCACACUCGUUCUUUACUAACUUUCAUCAAUUGAUAAACUCAGGGCUAAAUGUCAAUUUCAACCAACGCUAUGAUUCUUUCAAUCCUAAGAAUCUAAGGUAGUAAUUUUUAGUUUGAAGAGUAAAGAAUCUUACCUCAACGAUGGAAAACCUCUAAAUUGGUGCAAAAUAGCCUUAACAUAGACCUGGAACGAGUUCUUGAAAUAAAAGGGAAUGAAAUGUUUUUUUUUUUCUAAAUUAAACUGUUUUUCUAAACUUUUUGUCGUUGUAGCGAUGGAUCUGUCGCUGCAGCGGAUACCAAGGCUAAAUUGUCUAUCGUUGCGACAACGCUUCUAUUGUUGUGGCGACAAUUCUGAAUUGUUGGGUCAUGGGCCUUUGUCCCUUCCUAUGUGGAUAAAAUGAAGUCCAAUUUGGAUCAAUCCACUUUUGCCCAUAGGCCCAUUACUAUGAGGCAUAUAUAUUGAUCUUUUUAGGUCUUAUACACCAUCACAAAAAAAACAGAGUUUUCAGCAGCCAAAGAGGAAAAACGAAAGCAGAUUUUCGCACCUAAAUUUCAGCCACAGUUGUCAACUUCAAAUUGCGAUUCCCGUUUCGUUUCUUGUUAGAUUGAGCUGAUUUUUGGACUACUUAUUUCUCUCAUCUAAAUAUUUGAUAAGAAACUAACGGAGCUUGAUUUGGUGGCCUGUAGCUCCUGUUCUUCAUUCCCGAAUAGUAGCUGCAUUUUUUGUGCUUUCACUCCUUUAUUUCUCUAGUGUUUGGUGCUGUGGUUUAUGUAUUGUUGCUUGUUGUUUGUCACUUGUUUGGUGGCGAUUUUGGAGGACAAUAUUGUAACUCUUUGGUGAUUAUAGUGGAGGCUUUGGUCCCGUGAUUUUUUACUCUUCACACUGAAGGGUUUUCCACGUAAAUCUUGUGUCUCGUGUGAUUACCUUUAUUCUUGUGUUGUUUCAUUUGGUUGAGUUGUUUGUUGUAUAUUACUCUAUUUUUUUGGGUUUAUUUUUCUCCUCUUGGUUCAAGUUGAAAGGAAAAGUUUAGUCUUGGGUAUUUUCUGCUGCUAUCCUGUCGGGCUCUUUGAUUAUGUGCCCGUCUUUCCUAAAACGUAGUAUCAGAUCAUUGGUUGUUGUUGAUUGUCAUUUUGAAUGAUGGAGGCAAAUAUGAUCAAGAUGGUGUGUUUGAAUGGUAGUAACUAUCAUACUUGGAAAGGCAAGAUGAAAGGUCUUCUAUUUGUUAAGAAAAUGCAUCUACCUGUGUUUGCAUCUACUAAACCUGAAUCCAUGACAGAUGAGGAUUGGGAAUUUGAGCACUUACAGGUUUGUGGCUAUAUCAUACAAUGGGUUGAAGAUAAUGUUAGAAAUCAUAUUGUGAAUGAGACACAUGCUAGAAGUUUGUGGGACAAGCUCGAGACACUUUAUGCUUCUAAAACUGGCAAUAACAAGUUGUUCCUGCUUAAGCAAUUUAUGAAUAUUAGGUAUAAAGAGGGCAGUCCUAUUUCUAAUCAUAUUAAUGAUUUUCAGGGUGUCCUUGACCAGCUGUCCGGAAUGGGUAUAAAGUUUGAUGAAGAAAUUCAGGGACUUUGGCUUCUUAAUACUCUGCCUGACUCUUGGAAAAAUCUUCGAGUUUCUUUGACUAAUUCUGCUCCUAGUGGUAUUGUAACUAUGGAAUAUAUUAAGAGUGGUGUCUUGAAUGAAGAGAUGAGAAGAAGAUCUCAAGCCUCAUCUUCUUCAUCUUCACACUCUGAUGUAUGGGUUACUAAAGAGAGGGGGAGAAACAAGUCCAGAGAUUCAAAUAAUAGAGAUAAAAGUAGAAGCAAGUCAAGGUCCAAAUUCAAGAAUGUUACAUGUGACUAUUGCAACAAAAAGGGGCAUAUCAUGAAAUAUUAUUACAAGCAUAAGAGAGAUAUAAGACGGUAAAAGAAAGAAGGCGAUAAUGAAAAUUGGGUUGCUGUUGUUGCUAAUGAUGAUCUUCUUGUUGCUUGUGGUGAGAAUGUCAUUAAUCUUGUUCGCGAUGAGUCUAGCUGGUUUGUGGAUUCUGGUGCUACUUCUCAUGUUACGCCAAAGAAGGAAUUAUUUUCUUCUUGUACUCUAGGUAAUUUUGAGAUAUUGAAAAUGGGCAAUAAUGUUAAAGUUAAAGUACUUGGCAUUGGCACGAUUUUUUUGGAAAGUAACAAUGGUUCCAAACUAGUUCUCAAUAAUGUCAAGCAUGCUCCAGAUGUUCGCCUGNNNNNNNNNNNNNNNNNNNNNNNNNNNNNNNNNNNNNNNNNNNNNNNNNNNNNNNNNNNNNNNNNNNNNNNNNNNNNNNNNNNNNNNNNNNNNNNNNNNNNNNNNNNNNNNNNNNNNNNNNNNNNNNNNNNNNNNNNNNNNNNNNNNNNNNNNNNNNGUGGAGAAUGAUACUUCAUCAGAGUUGUGGCAUAGAAGGUUGAGUCAUAUGAGUGAGAAGGGGAUUGAUAGUUUGGCUAAGAAAAAUUUACUUUCUGGAGUAAAACAAGCAAAGUUGAAGUGUGUUCAUUGCUUAGCCAGUAAACAGAAAAGAGUUUCUUUUCAGAGUCAUCCGCCUUAAAGAAAGCUCAAUUUGCUGGAGUUGGUGCAUUCUGAUUUGUGCGGUCCUUUUAAAGUAAGGUCUCAUGGUGGUGCACUUUACUUUGUGACUUUUAUUGAUGAUCAUUCUCGCAAAUUCUGGGUAUUUCUUUUGAAGUCUAAGGAUCAAGUAUUUGAUGUGUUCAAGAAUUUUCAGGCCUUGGUUGAAAGACAGACAAGGAAGAAAUUAAAAUACAUCCGUUCAGAUAAUGGUGGUGAGUAUAUUGGUCCUUUUGAUAGAUAUUGCAGAGAGUAGGGUAUUCAGUAUCAGAAAACUCCUCCAAAGACUCCUCAGUUGAUGGCUUAGCAGAGAGGAUGAAUAGAACACUAGUUGAGAGGGUUAGAUGUAUGCUUUCAGAUGCUAAGCUGUCAGAUUCCUUUUGGACAGAAGCACUUAAAACGGAUGUUUAUGUUAUCAAUUUAUCUCCUACUGUUGCUUUGAAUGGUGAUGUCCUUGAAAGAGUUUGGUCUGGUAAGAAUGUUUCUUAUGAUCAUCUUAGAGUUUUUGGGUGUAAAUCUUCUGUUCAUGUUCCUAAGGAUGAAAGGUCAAAGUUGGAUGUUAAAACUAGACAGUGUAUCUUCAUUGGUUAUGGUCAAGAUAAAUUUGGCUAUCAUUUCUAUGAUUCAGUUGAGAAGAAACUUGUUAGAAGCCGUGAUGUUGUGUUCUUUGAAGACCAAACAAUUGAAGAUUUUGGCAAAGAUGAGAAGGUUGAUUCUCAGAGUAGUGAGAGCCUAGUUGAUGGUGAUCCGGUUCCUUUGACUACUGCUCCUGAAGAAAAUCUUCAUGAUGAUGAAAAUCAAGUUGAUAAUGAAGAUGAUAAUCAUGUUCAGAAUGACCAGCAAGAAGUUGUUGAUGCUUCAGUGUAAGUUGAUAUGGUUGAUCAACAUCCAGUUGUUGAUGUUCUAGAGAGUUCUCUCAGACAAUCUACAAGAGAGAGAAUACCUUCAUCUCGUUAUUCUUCCAGUGAGUAUGUACUCUUGACUGACGGGGUAGAACUUGAGAGUCUUGAUGAGGCCAUGGAAAGUGAAGAAAAAGAAAAGUGGUUUGAUGCUAUGGAAGAUGAAAUUAAAUCUUUGNNNNNNNNNNNNNNNNNNNNNNNNNNNNNNNNNNNNNNNNNNNNNNNNNNNNNNNNNNNNNNNNNNNNNNNNNNNNNNNNNNNNNNNNNNNNNNNNNNNNNNNNNNNNNNNNNNNNNNNNNNNNNNNNNNNNNNNNNNNNNNNNNNNNNNNNNNNNNNNNNNNNNNNNNNNNNNNNNNNNNNNNNNNNNNNNNNNNNNNNNNNNNNNNNNNNNNNNNNNNNNNNNNNNNNNNNNNNNNNNNNNNNNNNNNNNNNNNNNNNNNNNCUUUUCUCCAUGGUGACUUAGAUGAAGAGAUUUAUAUGGAGCAACCCAAAGGUUUUGAAGUCAAGAGAAAAGAGAAUUAUUUUUGCAAAUUGAAGAAGAGCUUGUAUGGUUUGAAACAAGCUCCUAGGCAGUGGUACAUGAAGUUUGGUUCCUUUAUGAGUCAGCAGAGCUUCAAGAAAAUUACUUCAGACUAUUGUGUUUUUGUACAAAAUUCUCUAAUGGUGACUUUAUUAUUGUGUUGCUUUAUAUUGAUGACAUGCUUUUUGUUGGUCAUAAUGCUUGCAGGAUUCAAAAGUUGAAGCAAGAGUUGAGUAAGUCUUUUUCUAUGAAAGACUUAGGACCAGCAAAGCAGAUUCGUGGCAUGCAGAUUGUCCGUGAUAGAAAGGCCAAGAAGUUAUGGUUAUCAUAAAAGAAGUACAUUCAGAAAGUACUUCGAAGGUUUAACAUGGACAAGGCUAAGGUUGUCAGUACACCUUUAGCUAUGCACUUUAAGUUGAGCACGAAGCAGUGUCCUUCCAGUGAUGAUGAGAAGGAAGAUAUGAAGAAAGUUCCUUAUGCUUCAGCUAUUGGUAGUUUGAUGUAUGCAAUGGUUUGCACAAGAUUGGAUAUUUCUCAUGCCGUUGGUGUUGUUAGUCUUUUUCCUUCUAAUCCGGGAAGAGAACAUUAGAAUACUGUGAAGUAGAUAUCUUUGUGGAAUUUCUAGUCUGAGUUUAUGUUUUGGUACAGGGAAGCCUAGUCUUUGUGGUUAUACUGAUUCAUAUAUGGCCGGUGAUGUUGAUACUCGCAAGUCUACUUCAAGGUAUUUGGUUACUUUUGCAGGGGGAGCUCUGUCUUGACAAUCUAGGUUGCAAAAAUGUAUUGCUCUAUCUACUAUAGAAGCUGAGCUUAUUGUUGUCGUUGAAGCUUGUAAAGAAUUGCUUUGGAUGAAGAGAUUCUUGGGGGAACUUGGUUGUGCUCAAGAGAGGUAUGUGCUUCAUUGCGACAGUCAAAGUGCCAUACAUCUUGGCAAGAAUUCUACAUUUCAUGGUCGGUCUAAACACAUUGAUGUGAGAUACCAUUGGAUUCGGGAUGUGUUGGAUUCUAAGUUGCUUGAACUUGAGAAGAUUCAUACGGAUGAUAAUGGUUCCGACAUUAUGAAUAAAGCUUUUCCAAGAGGGAAGUUUGAAGAUUGUUGCAUGAUCGCCGGGAUGGAGAUCUCCUCCAUAUAGUCGGGAGGGGGAGAAUUGUUGGGUCAUGGGCCUUUGUUCCUUCCUAUGUGGAUAAAAUGAAGCCCAAUUUGGACCAACCCACUUUUGCCCAUAGGCCCAUUACUAUGGGACAUAUAUAUUGAUCUUUUUAGGUCUUAUUCACCAUCACAAAAAAGAGAGUUUUCAGCAGCCAAAGAGGAAAAAAAAAGCUGAUUUUCGCACCUAAAUUUCAGCCACAGCUGUCAACUUCAAAUUGCGAUUCCUGCUUCGUUUCUUGUCCGAUUGAGAUGAUUUUUGGAAUGCUUUUUUGUAUUAUCUCAAUAUUUGAUUAGGAACUGACGGAGCUUGAUUUGGUGGCCUGUAUCUCUUGUUCUUCAUUUUCAAACAGUAGCUGCAUUUUUUGUACUUUCACUCCUUUAUUACUCUAGUGUUUGGUGCUGUGGUUUAUGUAUUGUUGCUUAUUGUUUGGUGUCCAUUUUGGAGGAAAAUAUUGUAACUCUUUGGUGAUUAUAGUGGAGGUUUUGGUCUCGUGAUUUUUUACUCUUCACACUGAAGGGCUUUCCACGUAAAUUUUGUGUCUCGUGUGAUUGCCUUUAUUAUUGUCUUGUUUCAUUUGGUUGAGUUGUUUGUUGUAUAUUACUCUAUUUUGCUUGGGUUUAUUUGUCUCCUCUUGGUUCAAGUUGAAAGGGAAAGUUUAGUCUUGGGUAUUUUCCGCUGCUACCCUGUCGGGCUCUUUGAUUGUGUGCCCGUCUUUCCUAACAAUUCUAUCGCUGAAAGUGACAAUAAACUAGUAGCUCGGGAUCCGAUCCUUGCUCUUGCCAUUCUACAACACACUUCUCGAUUCUCGAUAUUACGAAUUGAUCCAUACACUGUAAUUGCUAUGAAUAGAGUUCUACCAAUUUAUUUUACGUAUGAAAAGUCUCUACGACUUUCUAAACUUGUCAUCUAACACAAAAUCCGCUCGAAAUCACAAUUCUCACUCUAAUAACUCUCAAAGUUUCCUAGACCACUACACACUCAAAAUAUGUUUAAACUACGUGGGCCCCGAAUUUAAAAAAAGAUUAUCUACAAAAGAACUAAACUGAGGUUGUACUCUCUGUUUCAGCGCAACAACAUUUUGGAUCGUUACAAAAAGGCACAUAGUUUCUUUAACAGACUAAAACGAAAAGUAAGAUAAAAAAUUAAAAUGAACAGAGUGUUUUUAAUAUAAAAUCAGUUCAGUCUUGUAGAGUCUUUAUUAGCCUGAUUAAAAUAGGACACCCCCAAACUAAUAACAACCCAAACCCCAUGUUGUUGUUGCCAGUCUGUCGGAAUAAGCAAGUAGGAUUAAAAUCUUCACAUUUAAAGAUUUCAGAUCAAAAGACUGCUUUAAUCUCCCAAAUAUAUUCCAUAGAGAAACUAAAAUAGAGGAUCGUCUACUGCACAUUUGCUGAGAUAACUAAUAGACGAUCUAAGAAGCAAUCAUUUUUAUUCAACAAUGCUUCAUAAUUACAACUAGUUUAAUAAAAACAAAUUAAAGCACUUUCCAUCCUCUAAUUGAAAGAACUUUCAUGUUGAGAAACUUUUAUUUAUUUGUACUUGCAUUUUUCAUAAGCUGCCAAAUCACAACAAAGACAUAAUUAAAAAGCUAAUAUACGAUUUUCUUGAUAGAAUUAAGAAAAUUGAAUUUAAAUUUUGAAUAUCGUGAGAGUAACUUACAUAUUUCAUGCCGAUACCCGCCAGACAUGUACCAGUUUUACGGUUAAGCAUAUAGGAAGCAUGGCUUCUUAAUGUAGGAGGAAAGAAGCAAGGCCUUCCAGGCUGGCAUUCCCGUGAUCACAUAUUUUAUCCAUAAAGGCUGAUAAUUGCAGAUCAGGUGCUGCAGGAUCUGCUAUACACCAAUCUUUUUCUUCAUCUCCCUGUAAUAUUUAUUUAUUUAUUUAUUUUCAACAACCAAUAAUACAAAUGAAGAUAGAAUCCUAUCAUUGGGAUGAAUUUAAAAUAAUCACUGAUAUAUUUUAGUCCUUAAUUUAAUUUUAUAAAAAAAUGGUAAUUGUUUAAUAUUUUUAUAUUUAUUGUCGUUAGACCUAACGAACACUAUAAGUAAAACAUCAACCAUAAACACGAAAUUUUAUUCAGACAUUUAAUUUAAAUCUUUUAAGUUGUAUUUUUCUCUCAUAAAUAUGAUAAUCUGAAGUUGUAUUUUAUUCUGUUAUAUAUUUAAAAAUUACGUAAAAUAUACUAUAAAUCAUAAUAAUUAAUAACUUAAAAUAUUUAAAAGAUAUAAAAGAUUUAACUGACUCUCAAAAUUUUCAAUGCCCAUUAAAUUAGAAUAGAAGAAAAAGUAUUUCUCUCUUUGUCCAUCUUUACUUGUCCACAUAACUGAUACUCUUAAAGUACUUCUCCCUUCAUCAAUCUUUAUUUGUCCACAUAACUGGGUACUCUUAAUUACUUUUUUGUAAUUAUUUUAUGAGAAAACUAUUUUAAUGCAGUCUAAUGACCCAACUUUGAAUGAUUUUCUCUUUUUUAUAUUUUGAUCAUUUUAUUCCUCUUCGUGGUUGUGCUAUCUGGUUAAUGGGUUGCAAGAAUGGUUGGUAUGGUUUCCAAGGCCUGCGGAAAGGUUUUGGGUGAGUUUGAGGUCGUUUUGAGGCUUUAAGAGCUAACAAUUGACUUUGAUCAACAUAUCGAUAUCCGAGUGCCGGAUGACAAAAUAGACUGCGCCAGCUGAUCCAAAAUAUCAAAUUUGGAUUAGUAGUAGGAUUGAUUCGGUUUUAUGACUUUUAGAUCCCAUUUCGAUCUUUCGUUCAGAUAUAGUGUAAAUAGAGUCUCGAGGGUCAAUUUUGUGAUAAUGAAAUAUAUUUUAUAAUUAAUUUACACUAUUGGAUCAUGUUCAUAGGAUUCUGGAUGAGUUCAGAGGGUCAAAAACAAGUUUUGAAGGUUGUUCGUAUGGCUGCUAAAGCGGUUGGUUGACCGCUUUAGCGUUCGUUGACUGUUUGACCGACUGCUAAAGCGCUUUUUUUGCUGAUAAAACUUGAAAAUAAUUUUCUUUGAUUUGAACUGCGUUUUUAACUCAUUUUUGCAUGAGUUUUCAGUUGUAGACUCCUAUGUAUGGGGAACGUAUUUCUAAAUCAAAAUUACAAUUUUACCUCUUUCAUUUCCGAACUUAUUAUUGGGGUUUGUUUUAGACCCGUUUUGUAUAUAGUCAAUAUGGUAUCGUUGGCUUACUUUUGAUGUGUAGAUAUCAUAUUUGAUAGUUUGAUCGUGGUUGGAGAUGUUUCGAAAGAUUUGAGCUUCCUGUUGGGGAUUUAUGCAGUGUUUAGAAUCGUGGAUCUUUGGUUAAGGCAAGUUGAGAUGUUCCUUGAUCUUUCAAAGUGUUUAUAUGUUAUUUGCUUGAUUGUCAGUAUGUUGUGAUUCGUUUAGGUUGGGGGUCCAUCUUAGAUUACAUGACGCGCAUCUUUGUGGGUACCGGAGUCUUAAUAAUGGGUUGUAGUUAGUUUAUUACCUUAAUUAGUUAGUAUUAUUGCCUGUAGAUAACCUUAGAAUAGAUUGUAGUUAAUAACUCAGGUUUGGACUAUUAUUAUUUUUGAAUGCUUACUUUGGGACUUUAGAACUUGUAUAGCGGUUGUUAUUGUGAUGAUUGGGAUUUAGAGAACUCUAGGAGACAAUUAUGUUUUACUGAAAUGAUAGAAUGAUCGAACCUUAGAUAAUGCCUAGAUUAUAAAUAGGCUCGUAUUGGUUGUUUAGGCUUAAUGUAUAAACGAGCUAGGCUUAGUUAGUAUCAUGAUAUUUUGUUAUUGGGAUUUGUAUGUUUCAGUGUUGCCAUGUGAAACUUAUGUGAAAUAUCUAUGGACAUGAGUAAUUAAUUAGGUUCGUAUUCCUAUAUGGAAGCUUAUUCAUCUAUUAAUAUUGUUGUGACACCAUGUGGGGGCUUAUAUAGUUAUUGUUGGAGACUUGAGAUGAUAUUUGUUGUGUGUUAAUUGUGUAGGACCUUUAUAUGAUAUUAUUGACCUUGUAGUUAAAUUUUAUGCCUUGGUAGUUGACGUAAUGUCCGAGUGGAGGCUUAAAAUGGAAUUAAGGAUGCCUUAAUUACAUGAUUGUUUCAAUGGUACAUUACUUAUAUUAAAUCAUGGAUUGUUGACAUAUUGAGUAGAUUUUGAGCCCAUGUGUAUAUGUUAUGAAUGAAUUUGAGAUCUUUAUACUAAUUUGGUUGUGCGCAUUACAUCCUCAUAUCAUACAUACAUUCAUGAGACACUGGUACCACUGUGGAAAUACUAAUUUUUCACAUAAAUGUGAUACCUUCAAAAAUCCUUUGUCGUAGCCCACGAGUUGGAGAGAAGAUAUGGAUAUUGAGACUGGAAUUGAGUAUUGAGAUUAUAUAUGGGUUUUGAACCCCCCAUGAAUUCUACCUAGGUGUAGUGAUCGGUAGGUGUAUAUGGAGGUUAUGUUAUAACCUUGAUCAUAUCACACCAUCACCACCACCACCACCACAACUAUCAUCAUCAACAUCAUUAUUUUCACUAAAUUGUAUUGCAUUACUUGCAUUGCAUUAUCCUUCUUGGUAUGGUUAAUAUUGUGUUAGUGUUUACUUUUGUACUGUAUUAUCGUGUUAGAAACUUGUUUGUGAUAUUAUAUUUUGAGCAUCCAUUUAACUUCAUUACAUUACUUUACAUCAUCUUAUUUGAAUUUGGAGUUGAGAUAUUAUAAGACUUGGGGUAAAGCUAUGGUUUAAUCUGAAAUAUCAUUGGAUUGUACCUUUGAUGACAUAUUAUUGAAUCUUUCUAUAAUUUCUCCUUAACUGAUAUCAUAAUUGUUGGUUGAUAUCAUGUGAUUAAGCCUGAAAUGUAUAUGUUGUGUAAUAAGUGUUCUGUAUAAGUGUUUCUCUCUAAUUGCGGAUCAUGAAGUGGCUAUUGUUGACUCACCCAGGUUAUAGUACCUACCCUAUUUUGGUUAUGGCUUUUGACUGUUGUUUUAGGUUACCCUAGUAGGAUUAAGUAUUAUGAUUUGGCGGAUUGUAGAUUAAUUUGAUACUUUGGGUAGCUGGAGUGGUGGUUCUCGCCAUCACUUUGGAUUAGGGUCCGUCAUUGUAAUACUCCGUAAUUGUCUUAGCUCAAUUCAGCCCAUAGUACAUGUACAUGAAGCUUAGAACCUGAAAAUUUAGCUAAGUGUUGGAGACAUAGUUUAAUUUUUACCACUUAACUUUGAUGAUUUUUAAAGUGACCUUCCGAACCUAGAGACGUAAGUUUUUGAGUUGAUUCAUGUUCAGGGGUAUAAGUAGCAUGUCUCGGGUAAGUUUUAAAUUUUUCGGAUGAGGUUUGGACCACGUUAGGAUUUCCAAAACAGCAAGUCACUGCGAUUGUGGUGCGUCGCGGUGGAAUAGCAGUGGCAGACUUGGCACGUCACGGUGAGAGCCCAAUCAGCAUUUCAAUUAUGAAUUUUAAUUUUUCAAGGGUAGUCUGGUCUUUUCCCAUGGCCCCAACUCAUAAAAACAUGAGAUUUAUCAUCAGUUAAAACAUUAUGUACCCUAUUUCCACAAUUUCUCUUUAAUAUAAACCUUAGCCCUCACCCAAAUUCAUCUAGUUCAACCAUUGUUCCUUUAAGAAAACUCAAGAAUUCAAGCUUCACCACCCAAGAACGAUAAAAAACGUCAAUUUUCUUGCAAGAUUAAAGCCUUAAGGUAUGUUAGAGGUUCAUUCAUGGGCCCUUUUCACCCAUGGAGUCCAAGAACCUAUUUUAUGUUUUAAACUAUGAAUUUACAUGUUUACAAUGAGUUAUUUUCAUGAAGUUUUUUUAGGGGGAAUUUCAAUUUUCAAUUAUGCAUGAUGAUUACAAUUGUUUUAGUUGGAAAGUAGCCCUUACACGUUUGAAGCAUGAAAUUUCAUGUCAAAUCCCCAAAGUAUGGUUUUAGUGUUAUGAUUUUGUUAUUCGCAUAUGUUUCAACUAUUCCCAUGCCUAAGUUCAUGAAUUUAAAGUGUUUGAUGAAAUGCCUAAGAGAUGAAUUUUGAGCAGUGACUACUUAUUAUGCAUUUGAAAACUUUGUUAUGCACCUAUUCUUGAUGUUAUCGAGCCCUGGGGUAUCAGUACCCAAAAUUUAGUUGUUUACUUAAUACUAGUACUUUUAGAAUGGUUUUCAGGCAUAUAUAACUAUUAUCAGUUCAGUUAGUUAUCCUAUCAAUCAAGUUUAGCUUAGUUCAGUAAUCCGACUCAGUUUAGUUGGGAGUAGGAUUUAGCACCGAGCGAACCUAGGGAUGAGGUCUCACCUGCCAGUUAAGGGUGUGACCUUUAGUAGCAAUCCCUGCGUUCUGAAACUACGUAGCCAGUGUAGGUUAGAGAUGUUAACCUGCCAGUUGAGAGUUGGCACAUAUCUCACCAGAGCACCUGCCAGUAGAGGGUGACUCUUUAGUCCUUUAGGACUUUAUUUCAGUGGAUCCACGUAGCCAGUAUUAGUACCCGUGGUACGGUACUGACAUCCUUCCAACUGAGAUCACAGGUUGGACCCCAAUUAACUCUUAAUUAGGGCAUGUCGGUUAGAAGAUAGCUCCUAUAGUCUCAAUCCAAUAUUCAGUUCAGAGUUAAGUUUCAGGUUUGCUUGACCGCAACAUACAAUUAUUAUUUGUUCAAUAUCAUUAUUUCAGUUUACAGACCAUUCUAGUAUCAUAUCAUAUGCUUGGUCAUGCAUUCUCUGAUUUUACAGCUUUCACGCAUACUAUAAAUCAGUUAUUUUAUGUCAUUCAUUCAGUCAGCUAUUAUUUAUGCAUAUGAGCCAUGCAUAUCAGCUUAACCUCAUUUAGUAUACCAGCACAUUCAAAGUACUGACCGCAUACCUGUUUCUUAUGCUAUGAUGUCUCAUAUCAUAGGUUCAGACGCUUAGGUUUCCGGUGGCACCUAGACAUCCCAGCGCACCAGCAGCAACAGCAGUGGUGAGUCCUGUCGAGCCCUAUUUCGAACCAGUCGAAACAACACACGACGUAUGGUGGUAUGUCGUGACUCUUGGGAUUUGAAAUUUUUUUUUUUAGAGUCGCCACCUAACUUUUAGGAAAAUUAGGAAAAUCAUUUUUAUGGUAAAACUUUGUAUUAGUCUAUCGAAAAUAUUUUAGAGAUUCUGAGUAAGGGUUUUGGUUACUCGAGAGGUAGGUGUUAGGCACCCCUCAAAGCCUAUCCGAAGAUAGUCCUUACACCCCUCAGUCCAUCACGGAACUCCAACUCCCGCGGGUGUACAUGAAACAAUGAAAAGGAUAAAGUUAGCAACUAAUCACCAAUCACUAAAAUAUAGCAACAAUACACUAAGGAGAAGAUAUAUAAGCAUAAUCAUAUUUCAAAGCUACAAAUGGGGGGCAACACACGUCCAAAAAAUAUAUAUAUAUAUAUAAACCAUUCUAAUAUAAAGUGAAAGUUUGUUUGAACUCUAACUGAAGUGAACAUUGCAUGUAUACAAUGGUAUUAAGUGAUAGAGUUCUUGGACAUUACAAAGGUACUAAGUACCUUGGGCAUUAUAUUUCUAAAAUUCAAAAGGGCCAACUAACCUGUUCUCUUACAUUUAAGAGGAAUAUGUAUAUUGUACUUACUAUUGGCUAGAACUCAGAAAAACAGUAGUCCUAUUAUUUUGACUGUCUUCUUUCUAAAAAUAUACCAAAAGAGAAGACAAAAAAUAAAUAACUCCCAAAUAUUAGUUACCAACAUUUUACAAAAGAUAUGAUUCUGACUUCAAUUUUAUGUCCGAAUACCAUGAAUUAAAAUGAGAUAAAAUUACAAUAAAUUGUCGCAACUCGGGCUAGUCAUUAGACGAGAAGCCAAACGUUAUAUGGCGUCCGUAGUAGUACAACGAAAUAUUAUAGAGAUGCGAACAAACUGCACCAUUCCUUCAUUUGUAUGAAAAUGAAUUACCAACUACUUGCAACAUACAAAAAUAGAUUAUUUUGCAAAAUGUCAAAGCAAAAACUAGAGGAACUCAUCUACAUAACUAAACAAACUAUCCAUACGUAGACACGGGAUAGACAUUCUCAAACGAUCAUGAUGAUGGAACAAACACUGCAACAUUUUGGACAGACAGAAAACAUAUAACAAUAAGAACCAAUCAACAAGAGAAAAAUUUGAAUUUGAGCAUUGUUUCCAGCUAGCACGUCCCCCUCCCCCUUCUAAUUAGGUUUCAAGGUCUCAAAACGCUACUGAGAUGCUACGCCUAUUAUUCUCUAAUUCUUGAGAAAAACAUAACCACCAAAUGCCGAAUAACCUUCCGGGAAAAUAGUCCAACAAUAUUAUAUAUCGAGAUAGAAAGCGUAGACAAAUUCAGGACAACGAAAGUUUUUCAUAUGAUCCAAAUCAAAAUAAGAUCAUACUUUUAAAGGAAAAUCCUGUUCAAAUUCUCUCUUUUUUUAGGAGAGAUAACAUCGUGACCAAAAUAUGCAACACGCAUUUCUAUCCCAGGUUUGAUAAUGAUACCAGACAAACAACGGAACACCAAAAUCAGUCCAAAAUAAUCCACAAAUUAGAAAAAAAUCAUGAGCCCUUUUGGAACUAAUUUCGGCCAACAACAAAAACACAAAAAUACAAGAUAUAAUGGUGUAUUUAUACAUCAAAACAAAAAACAUAUAUGAAGAACAAGAUGAACACAAAGGCACAAGAUUCGUAGUCAAUAAUAACAACAAGAACACAAGGUUACACCACAAACACCAAACACAAUUACAAGAAAAGUAAAAAGAUAGAUAGAUAGACCACAUGAAGGAAUAAUCUUAAGAACCCAAGAAUGGACAAUAUUGGACCCUUAACACUACACACAAUAAUAAACCGAUAUCUUACAAUGAUACAAGUUAGGAUUCCACCUCCCAAGCAUCAAUGUUUCCAAGCAAAGCAAACGACAAAAGAGAAUCCACCCUUUUGAUGUACCUAGUUACAAUUUCGAUGUUUGGGUGCCUCAAAUGAGAGAGGACUUGAUGUUCCUUGUGUCUUACAAGACUUACAACAUACAAAAUCUUCCAAUGAAACCCUAUAAAUGUUUCUUAUAUAUUACAAUAGAAUUAGAAGUUAAAAUGACCAAAAGAGCCCUUCAAGAAUGGGCUUCCCCUCUAGUGUAUGUAGCGGGCUGUUUUGGUGUGUAUUUGGGCCCUUAAUUACACUUAUCUUGCACACACACUUGAAAAACUUCAAUACACAACCACAUUAGUCCAUCUACGUGAUCGCACUCGUAUCAUCCUCUCCAUCUUGAGAGAAAUUUGCCCCCAAAUUCACGGUUUCACUUCGUUCAAUUGGCCACUUCAUAAGCGAUCACUCAAAACAGUCCGCAAAACAUGAAGAAACCUAGAGUUCAAUAAAACUUGGCACGUAUCAAAAAAGACUCCAAAAAUAGUCCACCAACAAGAUGGACCCGAGAGCAACACAAAUACAAUUCGAGGCUAACAUCUUCACUUUGAACCUUGGCUUCCUCUCCAUCUUGAGUUUUGGCUUCAAUAUUAUCCGACUCAAGUAUCCCUCCAUCAUAUAAGCAUUGUCGUAGACUCCAUAUCCUUCAUGUCCCUCUCUACCAUGUUCCUCUUCUUGGAUGUGUAGGCUUUGGUAAAGCAGAGUUUCGAUUGAGAGGAUUGAUUUGGUAAAGUGGACUAUUUUGGUAAUGUGGAGCUUCAGUUGUGGAGGUUGGAUGGGAGGAAAUUAUCUUACAAGUCCUUCUUGUUGGACUUGAUCAAAUAGCUGGGGAAGGGGUCUACCUUGUUCUCGGUAUUAUGGGUAAUUUGUAGCUUGGCUUAUGGCAUUUUGUGGUGAACUUGGAGGAUUGAAUUUUGUAGGUAAAGUUUCGGGAGUAAAAUCAUGAGAGAUCCUUCGUCUCUCCAUUCGAUCCAACCUCUCACUCAUAGUUACCACAUCCGAGUGAAUGUUUUCAAGACCCACAUUUGCCCUAGCAAGGUCUUGGGACAAAGCAUCAAGGAGGGCCAAAAUGGUUUCCAUUAGGACCAAAAGCUACCUACAAAACAACAAAAAAGUUAGUUGUACAAGCAUGGUCCUCACACUCCCUUUCUAUCAUUUUGUCUCUCAAAUUUUUCACACUUUGAUCUCACAAGUGUCGUAACCUCGCUUGUACUCCGUGAGGCAUUGAGAGUUGGACCAAGUAUCACAACGAGUCAAAAGAAUAAGACACACAAAGGAACGUAUACAUGAAGAACGGUUUCAAAACUAACUUAUAAUCUAGUACUAGCUUGUAAGUUAGCAAUGGAAUCAACAAACGAAGCUAAAGAAAUAAUAAAAUGAAACUAAGAAAUCUAAAAUUUGAGCCAAAAGUGUUACGUAAACAGUAAAAACGAUGAUGUGGCAGUCACGUAUUGGUUGCGAUUUCUCAAUUUUAUAUUUCAAUUUCAAAUCUUGGUCCCACUGUAAUUUGGAAUUGGUUAAGGAGGGAAAUAAAAGUCUUUGGAGCUCUUUUUCAAUUCAAGUUUUAAGACUUUGACUUUCUUGUACUCCUCCUUAAAACAUGGACCCUUGUAUCAUGGAAAGUUGUUGGAAAAAGGUUGAUAAAGUCUUUGGUGGUUGGGGGUUUGUCAAGACUAACAAUUCUUAACCUUUUUCCUUCAACUUAUAAAAUCAACAACCACCUUUUCUUCAACAACAUAUAGAGAUGGUGAAGAACACCAAGAACACAAACUUUGAGUCUUGAAGUUCUAAGGUUCAAGUUGGACCCUCCAAAAAAAACAACACCACCUUUUCAAGCUUAAAAUACACAACACAAUUUCCACAAUACACGUUCAAAACUUGAACCAACAACAACAAUCCCAACAACAAUCAGCCACACUUUGGAUUCACAACAACAACAUCAACUUUUAAAGCUCAAACUUAGAUUUAGACUCCUUUAGUGUUAGGGAUGAAGAAGCUAACACUACUAAAAAUACAACACACAAAAAGGACUCUUAGAUCUAAGUUUACAAGACACAAAUCUCGGCUUAGACACAACAAGACACAAUUUUUUGCCAAGAACACACAAGUGGACAGAUAACUAUUUUCUGGAAAUUUCAGUUUUCAAUUUUUUUUUUUAUUUUCAACUAAGAGAGCCCAAGAUUGGUAGUGUGAGCACACGACCAUCCUUUGCUCUGAUACCAAAUGAUACCAGACAAACAACGAAACACCAAAAUCAGUCCAAAAAUAGUCCACAAAUUAAAAGAAAUUCAUGAGCCCUUUUGGAACUAGUUUCGGCCAACAACAAAAAUACAAAAAUACAAGAUAUAAGGGUGUAUUUAUGCACCAAAAUAGAAACAAUAUGUGAAGAACAAGAUGAACACAAAGGCACAAGAUUCGGAGUCAACAAUAACAACAAGAACACAAGAUUUUACCACAAACACCAAAGACAAUUACAAGAAAAGUAAAAGGAUAGAUAGAUAGACCACACGAAUGUAUAAUCUUAAGAACCCAAGAAUGGACAAUCUUGGACCCUUAACACUAUACAUAAUACCGAUCUCUUACAAUGAUACAAGUUUGGAUUCCACCUCCCAAGCAUCAAUGUUUUCAAGCAAAGCAAACAACAAAAGAGAAUCCACCAUUUUGAUGUACCUAGUUAUAAUUUCGGGUUUGGGUGCCUCAAAGGAGAGAGGACUUAAUGUUCCUUGUGUCUUAAAAGACUUACAAUAUACAAAAUCUUCCAAUGAAACCCUAGAAAUGUUUCUUAUAUAUUACAAUAGAAUUAGAAGUUAAAAUGACCAAAAGGUCCCUUCAAGAAUGGCCUCCCCCCUAGUGUACGUAGCGGGCUGUUUUGGUGUGUAUUUGGGCCCUUAAUUACACUUCUCUUGUACACACACUUGGACAACUUCAAUACACACCAACAUGAGUCCAUCUACGUGAUCGCACUCGUAUCAGAUAAUGACACCCAUUUUUUAACGAAAUUCGAUACAAGUCCGCUUCAGAGUUGACAAGAAGAUAUGAACUUAUACGGAGAUGACAUUUAAGACAUAUUUCUAAAGAAAAUUACAAUCCAAAGAGUACUUUAAAGUUUGUAUUCAAGGUAAAUGAGAUCAUGGAGUUUCUUUUCUCUUUAUCGACCAAGUGAGUAUUACUAAAAAAAAUUAAAAAAAAAUGGGAGACAAAAGAAAACUACAUACUCAUCAAAUCUAAGAAAAUACGGAAAAGAAUCGGAGAAAUAUUAGAGUUAUGGGGAAACAAAUUAGGGGGAUUUUAGAUCACAAAUCCUCACUCAGAACUUCUCUAUUUCAAACAUAUUAGCACAAAGGAAUCAAAAAUCAAAGAGAGAUGAAAAGAGAUGAAUCCGCACCUUGUUUGGUGCAGUAAACCGAAGGCUCAGACGUUAAGAAAUUCUCCGAUGAAGAUUUUGAAUUUGGAGACUUGAGUUUUAACCGGGAAUGAGAAAUCAAAACUGUAGUUCUCAAGACCUUCUUGAAAAUUAUUUCUUCUAGUUUCUACUUGUGAUUUCCCAAUUCUAAACCCCUUAAAAAAAAGAAAUUCUUAAUCCCCUUUCUUCCGAACCCCAAAACUCACUGUUCCUCCUCCUUUUAAUUUCUCUCGAAUCUACUUGCUUCUUUUCUCUCAAAGUUUCUUGUUAUUUUUUUUUAUCUUAUUCAACUGUCCCCCCAUGGAAACGAAAGACCAAUAUUUAUAGGCACAAAACCUUAUAAUAAAAAAAUGGAAAGAAGGAGGAAAUUUAAAUUUUUGAUGAAUCCCUUCGUACCUCAGCUCUUCUAGGUCAUUAAUGGUGGAUUCAAAACGAAAAAUAAAUUGUUGCAUCAUUUUGGGACUGUUUUUUCUAUUUUGUUCAGAUUCACGAGCUGGACAUUUAGAAAAAGGAAAGAUUUUAUGGAAAGUGUGGCAACCGUAUCUGCCAUGGCCGCAGUCUAUGACGAUUAGGGUUUUCUUGUUUGAGGGAUGGGGGAGAUAGGUGGAGAGGUGAAGGGAGAAGAGAGGGGUGGUUUAGGUUGUGUUUUGAAAAAAAUGGGAUGGUGAUGUAUGAGAGCGUGAAAGGGGAGAUGGAGACAUGACUCUAUCUUUUGGGAAAGUGGUGUUUCAUGCUUAUUUAAUUAUUGGAAAAAUAAAAGAAGUAUGAUGUACUUUGCCUGAAAUAUGGGUCGUCUGAUCGUUUGAUCGAACGGUCCACAUUUUAAUAUAAGAGAAAAAUAAAAUUAUAAAUUUAUAUAUAUGGGCAAAUAUAAAGAGACUGAUCCGUCCGAUCAUUUAAUCAGAAGAUUUAAAAUCAAUAAUAAAAAAAAUAAAAUAAAUAAAUAAUAAAAACUAGUUAAAUAUAUAGAGUACAUAUAUAAAUAUAAAUUAUAAGGUUAAGAAUUUUGGAUCUAUGGGUUAAAAAUAAAUUGAUAGGCUAGAUUGAUGGGUGUCGGUUGAAUGAAAAGAUGAAGCGGACAUAGAUAUUGGGUUGGGUUUUGGGCCAAUUUUUAGGCACCUUGUUGAAAUUUAUAAAUGAAGAGUUGGGUUCGGAUGAAAUAAGAAAAUUGGAGUAUUGUUAGCCCGAAUACUCUAUCUACUGAAAUUAAAUUAAUCGAUACUUCUGAUAUCCUAAAAAAUAUUUUAGUUUAACGUAUACAAAUUUCAGACAUAAUUUGUAUAAGCGUCUAAUUUGAUAUUUUUUGUGAUUUAAUAUUAACAAUAUAUGUGUGUGUAAAAAUUAAGAAUAUAAUAAAAUAUAAAAAAUAUCUUUUAUAUAAUAAAAUAUACAUAUACAUGUCACAAUAUCACCGAAAAAUAAAAUUAAGAAGAAAUGCAAAUGCAAUCACCAAAAGAUAUUUUAGAAAGAGGGAGCCAAAAUUGGGUGUCACCAGUCCUCAUAUUUCGAGGACCGAUUAUGUUAUUUCAGUCUAGUAGUCUGUCGAGUUAGUUGGGGACUUGUCCCAUCAACUCCACAGUCAGUCAGUUAGAGGCUUUCAAACACUUUCAGAUAGUUAGUUAGUUAUCCGAUGUUAUUGGCAGUCUUUAUAGUAUUGUUUUCGUACUUGUUAUUUCAGAGAUAUUUUAAAUGUUCAAACCUUAUGGCGUAUCUAGCUUCGUUUUUUGCACAUGUGUAUCCUUUAUUAUCAGUUUGUUCAGUGCUCACAACAGGUACCAAAUCAUGGGUUAGCUUGUGAUCACUUGUGACUGCAAGCACCGUGUGGCAUCCAGGGUGUACUCCCGGGGCGUUACAGUUAUCGAAGAUGCUUGCUGAGUACACGUGAAUUUACGCACUCACAUUUCCUUUUAUUUUCCUUUUCUUGUUUUCUGCACUCCAUGCAGGUAGUGGAUCGAGUAGCAGUUUGUAGAUCAUUUCUUACUGCAUUGACUUUGUGUAGAUCGAGGUAGUGACGGAUGGACUUCAAGCUUACCCAAAUCUCUUUCUUACUAUCUUGUGCUUACUUUUGUAUACAAGAUAUCUUAGUAUACUUGUUACAAAUUUGUCUUGUAUUAGUGACCACCAGACCUGAAAGAAUAUUAUUUCUCCUUUAUUUAUAUUUUGAGUUUAUUCUCCGAUCUUUUGCUUAUUUAAUCUUAAAUUGUGUUUUUGAAUUGGGAUAGGCUUAAUUGUACUAAAGGAUGCACAGAUGCCAUCACGUGCCUAUUUUGGGUCGUGACAUGUAGCUUAAGUUGAUUUUAAAACAUUGGUUUCCUCGAGCAAAAAUUAAAGCCUAGAUUUGCUUGCAUUUAUUUUAUUAGAAAAUCAUUAAUCUCAUAUUGAAACUAGAUAUUACUCCCUUUCGUAGUUUUACUAGUCCACAUUAUUAAAAAUAGAUGUCUAACAACACUUGUCAAAUUUAGAAAACCAAUGAAAUUUACGUAUUUGUGUUCAUCUUAUCCUUAGUUAUUAACUAUAGUUAUUACGCAAUACAUUUGCUAAGUAUUGAAUUUAUUAUAUUCAAAGAGUGAUCAGAACCGGCUCAACACUAUUGAGGGCCUAAAGAAAAACUUCAUUGAGAGGCUUUGAUUUUUCUUGUCACACACAAAAAAAAUAAGUAUAUACUAUUUGUUUAAAUCUAUUUUUCUAGCUUUUUGAGAUGCAAAGUUAUAAAUAGUUGUCUUAUAAUAUUACCAUUUAAUUCAACUGAAUUAGUAACUUGUUCAUCUUGAUAACAUUCUCCUAAAUUUUCUAAUUUUGUUUUCUAAUUAUUUAUUGAAAAAUUUAUCUAAAGAUCCUUUUUGAUAUUGCAUCAAAGCUUCUUGUUUUUUUUUUUCACUUUUGAAGAUCGGGAUUCAUAUUUUCUAACUGACAUAUAAUUUCUUUUUAAAUAACAAUAUAUAUUCAAGAAAUAAUAGAUAUGUCUAUCAAUAUAUGUCUACACAAUUAUUUAACUAAAAAUAAUACUAAAAAUCUAAAAUGAUAGAGCCCGAUUUAAUAACUUGACACAAAAAUAAUAACUUCAGUCCUCACAAACUAUCAACAAUUUUGAUAAUCCAAGAAAAAUUAGAGCAAUAAUAAUAUUAUAAUAGGAGAUCUUUGAAAAAUUGAAGCUUUAUAAUCUAUAAUCUAUAAUAUAUUAAAAGUGUGAAGGACCUUAGAAAUGUUGUUUGAACUUUUUGCCCUUCAUUAAAAGUUUUUGCUUUAGACAAAAUCAUCUUUUCACAAUUUUUUUUAAAAUAUGUAAGAGUUGAAAAAUAAUUAAAUAUAGUUAUGAUAAAACCUUUCCUUGUUUGAAUUCAUUUAAAUUUAGUCCUUAAACUUUUCCUUGUUUGAAUUAUAUACCAUAAAAGGACUUUUACAUUAACUACAUUUUUAUUAAAGUCAAUUCAAUUACUUGAAACGGUAGUAUUACAAAUUUGGUAGGUUUUUUUUGGAGUGAUACAUAUUUCUCUUAGAAAAAUAAGAAUUGUUUUGUUUUUGUAAGCUUUUGGUUAAUAUAUUACGGUGAGUUUUGAACAAUUAACUAUCUUCCAAACAUGACACUGCUUGAUUAGGAGCUCGAAGAAAGGCUUUCAAGUACAUUCUUGGAUCCUUAGGGCGAUCAAGGCUUGGACCUCCUUAUGUUGGCCUCGAGGUGUGUGAUCAAAAGCGUUGACGCCCAUUUGACUUGUAUCAUCCUCCCCUUCUUGAAAAAAAUUUGAUCUCGAAUUCAAACCUUGAAAAGCCAAAGGAAGGACAAAAAAGUACGAUAUCUUCAUGGCAUGAGAGUUAGAUUUAUCACAGUCAAUCAUAGCAUCUUGCCAAGGUUGCACACACUUAAGAUAUAAUCAAGGAUCAUUUGUAGUAAACAUUAGAAACUUAUUAAAAAAUGCACAAAGGAGUUGGAUAUAGGAAUCACCAAGAGGUAAGGAAACCACAAAGGUCAUAAUGGCAUCACUAAAUCCAAAAGGUGAGGCUACUUUCACCUUAAGAGCCAUAAGACACAAUUGCUUCAUCGCCUCUUUAAGAGACCACAUCAAGAGUUGUGUCUCAAUUGGUUUUAGAGUCUACAAGAUGCAUAUAGCAUUACCAUUCAAACAAGUGGACCAACCAACAAGUUCUCUACCUCUACAUAGAAUAAAUUCAAGAUUAACAUGGAUAUCAUCAUAUGCAAAGAGGUAGUAUAGGAAGGAAUCAAGUGUAAAGGCAUCAUCCAGGGUGCUAUUAUCUAUAACAAUGCUAUUGGGAUCAAAAGAUAUAGCACAUAAUACACACAAGGAUAGAAUAAACAUUAAAACACAUAUGACUUUUUCCUUUCAAACAACUUUCCUUAAGAAAAGGAUCAUCAAUUGUAAUCAAUUCACAAAGAAGGGUAUCACUAGCAUGGAAUCCAUCUAAGGUGUUUUCAAGAGGAGACUCCCUCAUUGACCUACAAGUAGUGAAACGUUAAGAGUUGAAACACACAAUGGUGAACUCUCUUAGAGCUUUUUAUUGCUACCUUUCUUUAAAAAUCCUUCAUCUUUGUUUGAGGUCUUUUCCUUACACAAUGUUAUUCCCUCAAGUGGAUUAUGAAUCCCCAAGAAAGACUCUUCAUCAUAGGGGAGGAUACCAACAUUCUCAUUCAAACUUUUCUUUUCAUGUAGACCAAGCAAUAAGUUGGGCGUACCAAAAUCACCAUAUCCAAAUUUAGCACCUAGGUCAAAUGGAUAGUGUCCAUAGACACGAGUCUAGACAAUACUCUUUUUCCCCACAGGCUUCACCCAAUCUAAAAUAUAUACUCUCCACAUUAGCAUAAGCACCAUCAUAAUCAAAGGGAGAGUAGAGAAAAGUAUAGUCAACUUCAACUAAGGUGUCCUCAUAUAUGUACUCACCAUUAGAUUCAAGAUCAACACCAUGAGUAUUCUCAACUAUAAGGGCACGCAAAGUAGAAGAAGAAAUGAUAUCCAAACAACUGAUACUUUCUUCUUCAAGGAAGGAAUCCUCAAGUAGACACAUACCACUAUUAUCUUCAAAGGGAUUAUUGCUUAAGUCUUCACAAGAAGCAAGCAAUUCAUCCUCAUAAUUAUCAAACAAGGGUGGGGUAUCGCACAUAGGAUCACGUACGCAAACAUUUUCAUGAAGCAAACUCUACUAUAGUUAGCAUAACCAUUCACAUCAAUUAGACCUUGAUAAGAAGUACUACAAGAUGAGUAAUAUAAAACUUCACAAUACUCACGUACAUUCUCACCAUGAUCAUCAUAAGAUUUGUAAAUCAACGAGCUAUACCUUACAUCACCUCUAGGCUCAGAGUGGGAAGUAUAAUACAACUCACAUGCCCCAUCUUCCUCAUAAGAACCAUCACAAGACUCUUCAUCAUCUCCAUACUCACUACAAGAACUAGGGUCAUUAUUCAUCUCAUAUUCUCCUUCGGAGUAGUAGCCCUCAUUUUCAUCCAUAUCUUGAUCGUGUCUAUGUUCAUAGCCCCCAUAAUCUCCAUAUUCUUCGUAGUCAUAACUAUCUUUACCACAAUUAUGGUCACCUUCUCAUAAUCACAAUUGUUCAAGGCUAUCGAAGACAUGCUUCUUUAUAUCACCUUGUACCUACAAAAUGAACAAAUAAAAUUAGUAGUAAAGCUCCUCACCAACACUCAUAAUAAUCUCACCUUUGUGAUCCUCACAAUUGGAGCAACGAAUGUUGAAAGUUGCUUAUACUCCGGUGGUCAAUAAGGUGUCAAUCUCUAUAUUGCGGUCGGAGUGGAUUCUUGUUUGAACGAAUCAAAGAAUAAACACUAUUUAUGGACUUGAAUCAAAAAGUUUCAAUGAAAUAAAAACUAGAAAAACUAAAAAUAAAUAGGACGAUGAAAGAAUUCAGACUCAAGAACAAAUCGAUCAACUUAGUAGACGAAUUACUAGUUGAUGAUUGGUUUAAGAAUCAAAAGAAGAGAUUAAAAAUCAAGAAAAUAAAACUAAAGAAUCAAAACUUGAGCAAUGGAGUAAUUAAAGUGUUAAAAUGCACUUUGAAAACUUGAAUUUUAUGAUUUGGAAUUUGAUAUGCGUUGAGGGGGUAAAUCUGUGUCUAGGAAGGUUGACUUGCGCUUGGGCUGCGUUGGGACCUGCUCCAACAGGUGUGGAGCACCUUGGAUGCAGGUGGUGGUGUUUCUUACUGAUUUGGGUGUGUUGGGGAUGCUGUAACAUGUUAGCCACAUAUGGAGGGCAGGCUGGA
Molecule: long non-coding RNA, 58927 nt
Filed under: Capsicum annuum
Lineage: Eukaryota; Viridiplantae; Streptophyta; Magnoliopsida; Solanales; Solanaceae
Description: long non-coding RNA (CANN_LNC000144)
Source: RNAcentral